Molecule: long non-coding RNA, 69361 nt
Filed under: Setaria italica (foxtail millet)
Lineage: Eukaryota; Viridiplantae; Streptophyta; Magnoliopsida; Poales; Poaceae
Description: long non-coding RNA (SITA_LNC003249)
Source: RNAcentral
UGUAAGGCAAGUGCACCCUCCUUCAAUUUGCUUAAGCUUCACCGCUGUGGGUACGGCAAGUACGGAUCAUGAGGCCUCGGUUGAUGUGGGUACGGCAAGUAAGGCUCAUGAGGCCUCGGAGGACCAGUUCCUGACGGAUAUCCACCAGCAUGUCUGGAGCGCUCCUUUGCAGCUGGCUGCUGCUGCUCAGGCCUGGGAGGACCAGUUCCUGACGGAUAUCCACCAGCGUGUCUGGAGCGCUCCUUUGCAGCUGGCUGCUGCUGCUCGGGUGAGAGCAGCGGCGCUGCUGCAGGAGGCAGCGUGCAGCGGCAGCCGUUCGAACACGCUGCAGCUCGUCCAACUGCUUAAACAAGAAGAAAGAAAUGGCGCAACAUCAACGCAACCGAUUAAUUUUGUGCAUAAACCGUAUGUUGAUAAGAUUCUUUUCUAGGUGUUACGAACACACAUAUGAUUAUGGUUUUUCUAUUGAUAAAGCUCUACAUAUACUGUGUUUGUUAAUUUGUUAACGUGCACUCUAAUUAAGUUACACCCACGAGACUCCGUACACCGUACAUGUAUAACUGUGACACUACGUUAAAAACAAUUUUCACUGGCAGUUAAAAUCGAUGGAAUCCGCUAGCACCUCAUUAUCAGCACAAAUGAUGUGAGGAAACCCACCAGCAACUCACUGUCAGCCCUAUUUACGGAUGUCCAACCGUUCCAAUUAACGCUGGUCGGUGCUCGGCAGCCCACCAGUACAGAUAUUUAUUUUUGGGAUAAUAAAAAAACAGCCCCACCGGCCGCGGGAGCUCGCCCCACCGGCCGCCGCUCCCGCCGGCGCUCGCGCCUGCCCGCCGCCCGCCGCUCCCGCCGGCGCCCGCGCCCACCGGCCGCUCGCCGAUGCCGCGCCCCAUCGCCCGCCGCUCGCCGAGGCCGCGCCCGGUCGCCGCUCACCCGUCGCCCGCCGCUCCGGCGCCCGGGCCCGCCCCACCGGCCGCUGCUCCCGCCGGCGCCCACGCCCACCGGCCGCUCGCCGACGCCGCGCCCCGCCGCUUGGAGACUUGGGGGCGGACGGAUGGAGAAGAAGCGAGGAUGAGGAUGUCUAUUGGUGGAUAAGGGAUAGGUACGCUGGAGAGAUAAAGAUAAGGGAGAUGUAGGUGGUAUUUGCGCUGGCGACUAACGUACCCACCAGCACAGAUGUAUCCUAUUUGUAACGGGAGUGCUUAGUUAGUCCGUCAGUACAGAGCUAUUUGUGCUGAUGGGUACUAGCUUGGCGGGUGCUAAUUUCACUUGUCAGCAUGCUAUUUUCGACAUGCCAGCACAAAUCAUUUCUGACGUAGUGUGAGAAUUUUGUACAUGCAUGUACUCCCUCCGUCAUGAAAUAUAAGGCAUCCUAGAGAUUGUAGGACAUAUUAGUGGGAGUAGCAAAAGACACGUAUACCCUUAAAUUAUAUGUGGGAAGUUAUGUUGUCCAGCUUUUUUAAUGACAGUUGCAAUAAUCAAUUUACUAAUGCUAGUUUCCUCGAAAAAAAUAGUUAAUGCAAGUAGCAAAAGAAAAAGGGUUUGUGAAAAGAAAUCAGGCCGGGGUAGUGGGCACUUAACUAUAGUGUUCGCCACCAGUAUAGGGUUCGCCACGAGAAGGGCCCGCAGGCUUGUCACGUUCAAGAGAUCCGUAGCCGUAGGAGAUGCCACCACUGCCGUCGCCAAUGCAGAUCACAAAGUGCCAGAAAAUGAUACAGGCCACGAGCGACCUCGUCAUCCAAACUUGCCAAAUGCUUGGCGACAUGGAUGGGCGCGCGGGGCGAAUCGACUUAUGGUUUGCGAAUGCCAUUAGGGGUUUAAGAGGGAGAUAUAUGGUUGCGAUAGACAAGGGCACGAUUUGCUACCAGCCUUGCUCGGCUCUUAUGCAUACCCGCACCAAGGUGGAGUGUGGACGACUUUGACUGUCUCGCAAGGUGAUCACAUAUUCCCAUUAGGUCCGUCAGGUCUUGUGCGAGUCCACUCCUUGCCACCACGCGCGGAAAAAAGAUGGAACAAGUGGAGCAUGAUAAGGGUAACGAUGGAUUGCCACGAUGUCUCUCGAAGGUGCUUGGAUGUAGAGUUGCUACCCUAUUUAUAGGGAUGAAUGCAUGCGUGUAUGUAAACGUCUGAAAAAGGCUAACAUUAGUUCAUACCAUAAUGAAAACUACAGCAUGCGGAAAAAUCUCCCAAUCCCCACGAGCGUGGCUAAGUCAACAUUGCGUGUAGAAAUUUUUAAAAGUAAGCUACGACGUUAUUACAAGUGAAUUAGAUAUGAUGAGAUAUUGUUUUGGUGCUGCAACUAGGCCUCCCUACGCGCACCGCGGGCCAAGAAUCACUCCGUAGUGGUGGAAUCUUGAUCGAUGUGCUAUGUUCCACUAUGGCAUGCCGCUUCUUGACCGGAAUCAUAUUGACACAUCGAUGCAUUAUUCUUUAUUGUGUUUGUAAUUAGUUAUUAGCAGUAGCUCUAUUCCAAAGGCCUAUCAAACAAUACCCCUCAGCUAGCUAUAAAAUUGGAAAUUUGGAACCUUAGUUUGUCCUAAUUAAGUCACACUAUGAAAAUAUAUUUCAAAACAAAUCUAAUUAUACUCAUUUGAUAUUGUAAAUAUACUAUCAUUUCUUUUCUACAAGUAGUAUUGCAUCUAACUAAACAAUAUUGUUCAAAUUCAUAAUAAUAUAUAGUUUUGUUUCACAAUGGCUGUCGUGAUAACUAGUAGAGAGAGCUUUCCUGAAGACUACCCCACCCACACCAUAGUGCAAAAAUAAGUCACGCCACCAUUCCAUUAUCGUGCAAAAAGAGGUCAUACUUUGAAAUAGUGAACUGGGGCAACGAUAUUUUCGAAGCUCAUCGAACUUUUGACUAAUAACGAGUCUACUUGGACAUAUCUCGAGUUCGUAAACAUACUGCUUUCAGACUUUAGCAUAUGUAUGGAAUGCUAUGUAUGCAAAUUCAAAAAUUAAUCUUUUAGCAUCACAGAAUCUAUGUACACAGAGUGCAACAUAAGCACAACAGAAAUGAGUCCAUCUAAAAAAAUGAAGAUACUGAAGGCCACACCAAUCAGGAUUUGCAUCGCUAUAACUGCAGGGUAUCCAUUACACUUACAGUGGCAUCACCGUAGCCAUAAAGUUUCAAAACAACGUUCAAGAAUGUAUUUUGGACCAUGCCCAUAUACACCCCGUUCGUUACAAAUUUUAAGUAAUUUUAGCCUUUCUAGAUGUAUAAUUUUUAUCAUAUAUUUAAACAUUUACAUAUAGCUAGAUACAUAAGUAAAAACUAUGUACCAGUAAAGCCAAAACGAUUUUUUAUUUUGAACACAGAGAGUAUAUAUUGCCGUGUAUGGACCAUAUGCCGAUGUUUGACUACUGUGUCACAGGGAUAGGCAUAGGAGUGGGUUCGAAUGCAAAACCCACACAUUGGUCCAUGAAAUGCUUAAAACGACCUGUAAUUUGCGGAUUCGCGGACUUACCCAUUUGAUUUGCAGAAAUAAGCACAACCUAUUCUCUUCUGAAUUUUCCUGCUUGGGGGACGGUGAGCCAGCUCUAUAAAUUCAUGUACCAUAGCCUCAUAAGCACCACAACUCAAGUUUGCAAUUGAAGUACGAGAAAACAGCACCAGCUCUGUAAUCCACCCUGGCGAAUAGAUGGCAUCUGAGUAUGCUAGCGCCCCUGGUUCCCCUAUGCUUGUGGCCAUCUUGCUCGCAUGUCUAUCCUGCUUCCUCUCAAUUGCAUCUUCUUCAGCUCCCACUGCACCACUUCACAAUACAUCUGACACUGAUCUCCAGGCCCUGCUUUGCCUCAAGCUCCACCUCUCUGACAGCACCGGAGCCAUGGCUUCAUGGAAAAAUGAUUCAGUGCAGUACUGCAGCUGGCCUGGUGUCACCUGCAGCAAGAGGCACGCAUCUCGUGUAGUCUCCCUGGCUCUCGAUUCAGCUGGCCUCCAUGGUCAGAUACCUCCUUGUAUUGGCAAUCUCACUUUUCUUAGGUCUAUUCACCUUCAGAAUAAUAAAUUGAAUGGGAAAAUUCCACCUGAACUUGGGCACCUGAAUCACCUCACCUAUUUGAACCUCAGCAACAACAGCCUCACAGGCAUGAUACCAAAUACUCUGUCUUCCUGCUCCCGCCUUCAUAUCAUUAAUCUCGCAAACAAUUUCCUUGAUGGUGAGAUCCCCACAAGUCUCAGCGAAUGUUCAGAACUUCAGAAGAUCUACCUGUUCAAUAACAAAUUAUCUGGAAUCAUCCCAGACGGGUUAGGUACACUCUCCAACCUAUCAGUUUUAUUUCUCGCCAACAACGAUCUAACUGGCGGUGUUCCUCUUUCACUCGGGAGCAAUUCAUUUAUCAGGACUGUCAUUCUCACAAACAACACGCUAACCGGAGGCAUCCCACCUCUCCUUGCAAACAGUUCAUCACUUCAAUUGCUAGAUCUAACAAACAAUCAUCUCAUUGGGGAGAUUCCUUCUGCUCUUUUUAAUAGCUCAUCAAUUGUAAUAUUAGCCCUUGGGGUUAAUAACUUCGUUGGAUCUAUCCCGCCACUUGUGCAUACCUCGUCACCACUAGAGAUUCUAAUCCUAUCAGAAAACAAUCUCUCAGGUAGCAUACCUACCUCUCUAGGAAACUUUUCCUCUCUGACAUGGCUUUUGCUUUCGCAGAACAGCAUCAAAGGAGCCAUUCCAUCGAGUUUAAGCAUUAUUCCUACAAUAGAACAAUUAGACCUGAGUUUCAACAACCUGUCGGGGACUGUUCCAGCUUCUCUUUACAACAUAACAACGCUAACAUACCUUAACAUGGGCAUGAAUAGCCUCACUGGGGAAAUUCCAAAUAACAUAGGACAUACCCUACCAAAUAUUCAAACACUGAUUUUGCAAGGAAAUAAACUUAGAGGUCAAAUCCCCGCAUCCCUAGCCCUCGCAGCAAAUAUUCAAGUGAUAAAUCUCCGUGACAAUGCAUUCAGUGGAAUUGUUCCCUCCUUUAGGAACCUUCCCUACCUGACUGAACUGAAUCUAGGGAUAAAUCAACUCGAAGCCGGAGAUUGGUCUUUCUUAUCCUCAUUGAGAAAUUGCGACCAGUUGGUUUACCUAUGCCUAGACAGGAACAUCCUUAAAGGAACACUACCAAGUUCCAUUGGGGACCUUCCAAGGAGUUUACAAGUAUUAUUGUUAACAGCAAAUAAAAUAUCUGGAGCCAUACCACAGGAGAUUGAGCAACUCAAAAACCUUACACUUCUUUACAUGGAACAUAAUUUACUUGCUGGAAAUCUACCAGACUCAAUUGGAAACCUUCCAAACUUGUUUGUCCUUAGCUUAUACCAAAACAAACUUUCUGGACAAGUACCUCUGUCCAUUGGUAAUCUCAGUCAACUCAGUGAGCUUAACUUACAAGAAAAUAAUUUCAGUGGUUCAAUCCCAAAAGCUUUAGGAUACUGCAAACAUUUGGAAGCACUGAACCUCUCCCAUAAUAGCUUCAGUGGUAGCAUACCGAAGGAGCUCUUUACUCUUUCCUCGCUUGCGGAAGGUUUUGAUUUGUCUCACAACAAACUGUCUGGAGAAAUACCACUGGAGAUUGCCGGCUUGGUAAACCUCGAGUCCCUGAAUAUUUCCUAUAACCAGUUGAGUGGAAUAAUCCCCUCCACUCUGGGACAUUGCAUGCACUUGGAGUCCAUCCACAUGGAAGGGAACCUUCUACAUGGGACAAUCCCUGAAUCUUUCACUAACUUAAGAGGCGUCAGUGAGAUGGAUCUUUCUCUCAAUAAUCUGUCUGGUGAAAUCCCUGAAUUCUUUGAGUCCUUCACAUCUAUGAAGCUUCUGAAUUUGUCAUUCAACAACCUUGAGGGACCAGUACCAACAGGUGGGAUAUUUCAGAACACAGGAGUGGUGUUUAUUCAAGGUAAUAAGUUGCUAUGCGCCAGCAUCCCUUUGCUACAGCUGCCACAAUGCAAUACAGAGGCAUCCAAAAAAUGGCGAGCCUCUGCUAUUCUGAAGAUAGUAGGAUUUACUGCUCUUGCUUUGGUCUUGCUAUCAUGGUUUGCCGUUGUUCUUUUGAAGAAGAGAAAGAAAGUUACACAAUCAUCUCAUCCAUCCUGCAAGGAGUUGAUGCAGUGCUCAUACGCUGAUUUAGUCAAAGCUACAAAUGGUUUCUCCUUAGCCAACUUGGUUGGCUCAGGAAAAUCUGGAUCAGUCUACAAAGGUAGAUUUGAGUUUGAAGAACAUACAGUUGCAAUCAAGGUUUUCAAACUUGAUCAACUUGGCAUACCAAAGAGCUUCAUUGCUGAGUGUGAGACAUUGAGGAACACUCGCCAUCGUAAUCUUCUAAGGGUGAUAACUGCAUGCUCAACAUUUGAUACAAUAGGAAAUGAGUUCAAAGCUCUCAUUCUUGAAUAUAUGCCUAAUGGUAGCCUAGAGGGCUGGCUCUAUCCUAAUCUGGACAAGUAUGGAUUGAAAAGAACAUUGAGUUUGGGCUCCAGAAUAACAAUAGUCACGGACAUAGCUUCUGCUUUGGAUUAUCUGCACAAUCAUUGUGUGCCCCCUGUGGUCCAUUGUGAUUUAAAGCCCAGCAAUAUCCUUCUUGAUGAUGUCAUGGGUGCACGUCUUGCUGACUUCGGGUUAGCUAAGUUUAUUCUUAGCUUUAGUCAUUCAUGCCAUCAUAGUUCUACAAGCUUAUUGGGACCAAGAGGAUCAAUUGGAUACAUUGCACCAGGUGAAAACGUUUCCUACAAAAACUGGAGAUUUUAAAUAUCACAACCGUUUUGUCUAUUUUUGAUUAUUCAUGUUUUACAUUUCCACUAUUUGACAAUGUUCUUUUAUUUUUUUUUGUCGGUAUUAAGAGAUAAAAAAUUGUUUGACCAAUUACACAUAUAUUACAGAGUACGGCUUCGGGAGCAAACUCUCAACUGAAGGCGAUGUCUACAGCUAUGGAAUUAUCAUCUUAGAAAUUCUCACAGGGAAGCGUCCAACAGAUGAGAUGUUUACUAAUGGUUUGAACCUUCACAAGUAUGUGGAAAAGGCAUUCCCUCAAAAGAUUGCUGAAGUUCUAGAUCCUUGUAUUGUCCCAAGUUCUGAAGAUGGUGAUGCGGACAACAUUUUGGACCAUGGAAAUAAUGCAACAGAUGGGGUGGAUAUCUGCAUCUUGCAUCUCGUUAAACUCGGUCUUUUGUGCUCUAUGGAGACACCAAAUGAUCGACCAACAAUGCAGGAUGUUUAUGCUGAAGCAAUUACAAUCAAAGAAGCAUUUGCAGUGCUACAUGGUUGAGCAAAAAGUACUGUUAUUUCUGUUGUUCACAUACUAGUAGAGCAUAAUGGGCUUAAGAAUCAUUUACUUUGUGGUUGUGGGUCAGGUCUUCCAUUUCGCUACUGUGUUUGUGUUUGUCAUGUAUCAGAACUAUUAACCAAGUAAUGAAAUAAAGUUCGCCAUAGGAACUACAUUACCUUUAUUUUUGUUACAUUGUCUAAUUGAUGCAAGUUCCGUAAUAGCAUUCUACUACUUUGACACCCAGUUGAGCGCAACAAUGUAGAAACUAGUCAGAAUCGUGCAAGGCCAAAUUAUUGGAAUUGAGAGUCAGGCAGUAGAAAUGUCUCCGAUAAAUAUUUUUGAUGAAAUAUGGAUUUCUCCUCGGUAAAAAAAUGGGAGGAUAAUUAGGUCUCUAUACUUUGUAAUAACGAGGAAAAAAUAAUUUUUUUAAUCGUUAUAGUUUAUACAAAAUAGGGUCAAGAGUGCCUGCUAGACGUACCUCUUGCUUCAAUCAACGGGGAAAGGUCUGAUUCUCAGUUCAAGUGUCCAACAUAAAACCAUAGACCAAAUUGCCAAUUUUACUAAUUAUUUAGAUAAGAGUAAUAGGCCCAAACAAUCGAUAAGCCACGGAAUUGAAGAAUGCAAAAUUCCACAGGGAGAGGGCUCGUGAACUGCAAGAAGGGAGGUGACUUACUGGCCACAUGGCACCCAGUCCGGCGGCCGGUGCUAAUCGUGUGCGCGAGGUUCUAAAAAAAUGGUCACAAGCAGGAGCAAGGCACCUAGUCAGUUUAGAAUGGCCGCUACCGGUUGGUGUGCAGCAGCAUAUCUGAUGAGCGUUUGACGUCUUUUAUUUUCUUUUCUUUCUCUCGGCUGCUGGUUUCUCUCGUGUUGUAACAACUUUGUUAUUUUCUUCUAAAUCGAAAGAUACGUAGUUCUACAGCGUAUUAAAAAAAAGAGGUUCCUAAAAAAUCCUCAUCUGGUUUAUCAACUUCGUGCCUUCGUUCCGCAGGUCGUUGGCUCCCAGAACCAGGGACCCAAGGCGGGGGGUAGCAAUGUAGGACGCGCCGCCAAGGCUCCAACGACAGCUGCAGCACCUCCGUCCUCCGCCCGACGGCCUGCGCCGCCGCUCGCCGCUGCCUCGCUGGCUCGUUGGCGUUGCAGCCGUUGUGGGCCGGCGAUGUGCGGAGGAGUCUUUUGAGUGGUGGUGAUGUUUUUCGGCCCUAGGGAAUAAAUGGGCAUUGAAGGGCCUUCUAUGGGCUUUAGCGUGCACCAAGGUCGAAUUGACUUCUGACAUUUAGUUUGUAUUUAUUUCAAUGUAUCUGUCUGCAUUUUUUUUACAAGUUAUUAUCUGCAUUGACAGUGACCAUGAGCUUCCUCUUGCUCACCUUCCUGGUCGCUGCAUUCUCAGUCACACGCAGCUGCGACGCUGCCACUGCCCAGUGUAGGAUUUGAUUUGAGCUCAUUAUUCUAAUGAAUGUGCGUUGCAAUUCAAAAGUUUCAGUAGCGGUGCUCAUCUGUAUCUGUUUCUCUUGAGACAAACAAUGUCCAGAAAUGCUUUACAUAAGGCAUUACAAAGGAAAACGCCGGUUAUAUAACUGUUGAUACAAAAAAUCGGACAGUGGUCCCGACUCCUGCGUCGGACACACGACUCGGGAGAAUCUGUUUAGUUUUUGUUCGGGUUAUCGUCCUGGUGCGGUUCGCGCGGCGUGCCAGUCAAUCUGACCUGUUGAUUGAUAAGGAAGAAAAGAUGUCAAAUUCCAGAGAUUUGAUCGGCUGAGGUUCCGAUCUACUCCAAAAGAUGUAUCAGCGGAUUGACCAAUUUAAUGUAAAGAUGACCGGCUAUAAAACAGCCGAUAAUCACGUAGCAAAUGUAAAACAAACUACUAGAGUAACCUAAACAAUGCUACAGAGACAACACUUGGAAUAGAUCUAAUCGGCUGUAUGAUGAUAAACAAUGUAUUGAUAUAGCCGACAGUUCGUGCCUCAAGCUGGAUAACUGGUGAUAAAAACUAAAAUAACAGGCAAAACCUAUAAUUCUAGCAAAUAUCGAUAACUAGUGAAUAAAUCUAAACGAAACAACAGCAAUGCGCCCGAAGUUAAAGCUUAGAUAUUACUCGAAACGUGGAACUUACAAAUUGGCCGGAGGUCGCGUUGAUGCAGCCCUGCCAAUUCGCACGAACUCGUGAAAAGAAAAGGGUUUGGCGAAGUCGCCAACUUGAAAGUAAAGUUGCGUGAAAAAGUAGAUUUGUAUUGAUGAUUGUUGGUUGUUUUACAAGCCUCACAAGGCACCUAUUUAUACCCUAUUACAACUGAUUUUCUAACCGACUAUGAUUUUAUCUUUUAUUCAAAGUAACAAAUAUUUACAUACGGAUACAUCUCGCAUUGGAGUCGAACACCAAUCAAUCCUUUAUGGGCCAACCCUGUCUUCAUCUUGUUACCACCUUGGCCCAUUCAGACCCAUAUCGGCCAAGCUGUUCUAGCUUCCGUCGGCUAAUUGGCCGAAACACUGUAGCUCUAUCGGCCAAUUUACCUAGCCACAGCCCCUUGUUUAACCGUGUCGGCCACUUUCUUCUCCUCUUGACGCCGAUCCUGACACGUGUCAAAAACCGGCGUCAACACAUGCCCCCCCCCCAGUUUCGGAGUGAAACAUAUCUUUUGCUCCGAAAUUUUCUCAACCCUGAUUCCUUCCUCCGGAAGAGACGCAACACUAAAUGCAGGAAAACCCUCUUUGCUCCCGAAAUUUUCUCCUUGAUGAUUGCAUUUGUUCGAAUAGAGCGCCCGCAGGCAACCGCUCCUUUCGAAAUUAGCACAGACGGCGUGGUAAAAAUUCCAUAUUUACCCUUCUCUCGAGCCAUCCCCCAGAUACUCAUCUCUUCCGCCGCUUCUUCUUCCUCCGGGCGAAAAGGGUUUCCUUUUCGGCGAAUUGUCUCCCAACGCACUCCAGUGCCCCUGCUCAUGCCGCCUCCAGGCGCAUCCCAGUGCACUCCGGUGACUUACUUAUGUUCUUCGUCGAUCGCACCGGCUCCCAAGUUUCAAUAGCGGCACCCACAGCUACCAUGGCCUUCGUUCCUGAGGUAAAUCUUCUGGGCUUUCCUCAUCUUUUCACGAUUUCUGGAUCUAUUUUUAGUCUUUUUUCGCACUUGCUUAGGAACUCAGGCAGAGAAUUACCAUCCCCAUGGCCGACACCCCCGGACUCAUCAGUCUUAGCCCUAUGGGAGAUCCUGACCCAACCGAUCUGAUUAGCCUGGAAACUCAUUGGAUUCCAUUUAAACAAUCAACCAUGGAUUUGGACAUUUGGACGAACACCUUCAAGUCUUGGCCGAAUCAAACCCCCGGAUGGAGAGAUUGGUUUUUUAGAAUGUCAGAUUCCAACAGAGUCGUCUGGGAUGAGCGAAAAAUUGGUCAUUGCAUAAAUCUGUCCUUAUCUCACAUGGAGAAGAAUGAAUCUUUGCUCAUCGCGUCGUCUUACUUCUAAUCCGACGCUCUUAAUGCGUUCCUUUUCGGCCAUGGACCAAUGUCUCCAACCUUGGCCAAUGUCCUGAUGCUGACCGGCCUCGAUAUUUCCUCCGCCGAUUCGCCUUUCGAUUUCUUAAUCAAACCUAUUCAUCUGCUGGAGACAAAAGCCAUCGGCGGAUGGAAAGACUUUAUUGAGAAGAACAUGAGGACUGGACCCAUUACGGAGAAGGAGCACACGGCCUUCUUGUUGGCAAAUCGGCCGGUCCUACUUCCAACACACAAGUUUUGGCCGAAGCACUAGUUAGAGGCGCCGCAGUCCCUUUGGGAAAGCACCUGCUAGGAUCAGUGUACUACAUGUUUCAUCAUGUCGUCGUACAGCUGUCAUCUGGGGAACCCAUCGGGAACCCUGAUAGUCCCUGGUGGUUUAUCAAUCUCUGGCUUAACUUAUACAUGAGCAAAGUCUUCAAGAAGCGGAUUGAGACCAAGACUUUCCCUAAUGUCGAAUCAGAGACUGACCCAUCGGCAAGACGCCGCUGCACCUCCUUCGGUGAAGCUGUAUCUUCUUUCCCAGGCAGCAAGCUCGCUCCCUCAAGAAUAGCCGAGCACUUCAUAUGCUUUUAUAACGGCUUCAGAGAAGAAGUGACGAACUGGUAUCCGUAUCAAAGAGAAGAUCCAACUUUUGAGAAUCCUGACUGCUUUAACUCAGGUACCAACACUUUUGAUGAGAGAAUCAUGGACAUCUUGAUUAAACCUAGGAUUCUGCCGGUGAACUUCUUUUUUGGGAAAGAUUCCCCAACAUACGAGUUCUACAACCCGUCAAUAGCGGCUAGACAAUUUGGCUUGGGACAAAUGCCAAUCGGAGUUCACUUUGUCGGCCGAGUGAAAUUUGGAGAACCGGUUUCAAGAGGACUGGAAUACAACAGACUAUGCAAUCUGACACCGGAUUCCAACACCAUUAAUCUGAGCACUUGGCUGGUUGUCCCCUUCUCUACUCAGCAAUUCAAAUUAUGGUGGGCCGAGUGGAAACAACACCUUUUUUGUGCGGCCCCUACGGUGUAUUGCAAUCAACUGGACCCCGCUCAUGCUGAUCCGAAUGCAGAGGUAACAAUACUUUUUUUCUGUCGAUUCCUUACUUUCAUUCUUUCAUGCCGCGGAACUUUUUCAUCACUGUCCUUUCUUCUUUGUGCGGGUCGAUAGCCAAGUGCCUCCAGCGCACAGUCGAAGCGACAGGCUGAUAGAGAUCCAUCAUCCGUACAAGUCGUACCCUCUUAUCGGCUAUCAUGCCCCAUCAAUGGAAGACAUAGCCACCGGCCGAUUAAAGCACAAGCUCAAAAUGUCUACCAUAAAGAAAACAAGUCGCAGGGUACGAGCUCUUACUGAAUCGGCGACAACUCGGACAACCCACCAAUCGACAGCAACGUCGACCGAGCCCUCAGCCGCACCAAUCCAAGCAGAUGUCUUGCCGACAAUUCAGGACAUUGAUCCCCUGGCAGCAUCAGAAGUUGGGUCGACGGUUGCAUCUCUCCUGGUGGAGGCCAUACAGGUAAUCUUACUAGUCUAACUUCUUCAUAUGUAUUACCAAUACUAAAUCUGUCCCUUCUUAACAGGCCGCACAACAUAUCCCGGAGCAGACUGUUCCUCAAUCGGCCGAUCCCCGAGCCGAAACUGUGCCAUCAGCAAAUCUUCAAAUUGAGGUAAAGAACAUACUCUUCACUUAAUCUCCAUAACUAUUUCAACUAAAAUCGGUUGAUUCUUGGCACAGGAUGCUCCAGACACAUCGAUCGUUCCCCUUGAGCGACUAUCAACAGAGGUGAGAAAACCAAGACUCACACUUAGAUCUAGUAUUCUUUUAUACUCACAAAUGCUUCCCUUUCCCUUCUCCAGGAGGCUGGUCCAAGCACACUACCGGCUACUACUAGAGAGCCGAUUAUUGUCGAAUCUUCUCCCUCUGAUGAACUACCUCCGCCGAUUCCUUAGACGGGAGCAGCAAUUCUACCAACCCAGGCAGAAGAGAUUCGUUUUAAUGAGGUAAGAACCUUCUAUCUUUACCAGCCGAUUCCUUACUUCUGUCGGCUAAAAUGUUUUCCGACAUCUCUGUCGGAGCAGAAUACACCAAACAACAGCCUCUUCUCUUUUGCAGUUGCGGUCUCUGAUGAUGAAGAAGUCGCAUCGCGCCAGAUAACUCUGAGCUCAAUACUAGAAGAUGUCCAUGCCAAGCUCCAAAACAUGCGAACCCUUCUUCAGGAAAACGUUGGCCGAUUGGUGGAAGAUGCCGAACCGAUACGGCAGAUUUUCAACGAGAUCAAAGGCCAAGUCCCAGAAGACGCAGAAGAGGCUCUCACACCCGCAGCAUACAUCGAAACCAUGUGGGUUCUAGUGUUUAGAGCCUUGCGACACAUGGCCAACCGUGCUAAACUGGAGAAGGUGUGUCAAGAAGAAGAAUCUUACAAGCACCAUGCACAAGAGGUACACCAGCGGAUCGGCAUGCUCGAUACCUCCCGUCCGAGCAUCUUCAAUGUAAUAGACUGGCUCAAACGGCUCAGAGCAGAACUUGCCAAAGAGAUGGAACAAGUCGUGAAAGCUAUCGCUACCGAAGAAAAGAAGCUCGAAGAUCUUCCAACUGUCAUCGCUGAUUUGAAACAAGAAAGACAAUCCCUCACUCAUGAGGCCAUCCAUCUCUAUUGUAAUGUGCCGGAAGUCCCAGAAUCGGCCGAUGACAAUCGGUGAGUAUUGGAUGCAGCCGACCAGGUUCGCCUGCAAGCAAUCGAGGCCAUAAACAACCUCCUCAGAUAGUUGUACUAAACUCAAACAACCUUUGAAUAUCUUGUAUAACGUUGAUACUUUUGGCAUGUCUAUCUUGAAUGCAAAUCUGAACGUUUCGCCCGCAGCUUUUUGACCCAACGGUUACUUUCUUUAAAUGCCCUCCUUUUACUAACCGUUGUCCAUCACCAUUUUGUCCUAUAAAUAUGAAUUCCUCACAUCCCUUCCGAAGGCACUCACACAACACCCAUUAACUCGUUCCCUGUACACACUUCCAAGUCUUCGAUCGGGCGACCAAGAUGGCUUCAUCCUCUUCUGUCAAUCAGGUACAAAGUUAACUCUCUCCCUUUUCGAUUGAUUUUUCUGUCAAUUAACCAUCCAUUACUCUCGCAGCCAAACCGGUUCAGCCCGGUCUUGAAUGAGCCAUCGAGAUCAUGCACUCCGAUGAACCGCUCACUCAGGCUGACAAAGAUCUGAUCCAAAAUCAUCGUGAGGAACUCAGAGAUCACCUUCCCACGAAUAUCAAGAGGAUUGUAGACGACAUCGAGACCAAAGCCUCUAAAAGGCAAACUUGGCAACCAGUUGAAAGGAGCCAUCAACUGCCUCGUCAAGUUGCCCUUGAAGACGAUAUGGUAGAAGUGGAGGAGAAGAACGCCCGUCUUCAGAUCUAAUUGGAUCGACUUCAGAAAGAGAUUGACAUGAAUAAAGCUCAACUGAAAUGCCGUUGAAUCAUUGUAACUUAUGAUUGUGUUGGUACUUUUUUAUCUGAGGGCGACUUGUACUAUGUCGGCCAUGUAUCCAGUUGAUGUACCGAAUAAUGAUCGGUUUAUUCAUAUAAAUCCUUCCUCGUCUCCUUCAACCUUAAGGCGAUGCCCCUUGCAUCGGCUAUAUGAACAUGACUCAGAAAGCGUCGGCCGUGAAAGCCUGAUAUGCCACAUUAUUGGCUAAGCGUCUACCAAUAUACUAGGGUAGUAUCUAGUAUUUUUCAUUUUGUAUGUGUUAAUUUAAAUGAUCUAUGGGCGUGAAUUUCCAUUUUUUUUUUGUUAUGGAACGUGUAAAUUGGAAGAUAUAUAAGCCCUUCUGCUAGGUUAUGUGCUGAUGUAACAUAUGCAAGUGCACAUGGUACAAUAGUUCUUAUUACAUGAUGGACAGUUGGAAUCAGCUACCUUGAAUAUGACCCAAUGUGCAAUGUGUUCAUGUGAUGUGGUUUGAUAUGAAUCCUGGCUUGAGAGAACCAAGAUGCAUUUGACCAACAAUUACUCUAUUACUCUUAAAAAAAUGCUUUCUUAUGAGUAUACUUUUGUACCACAAAUGAAAUAUUAAUAGAGUAAAUCUUGGACAAAGCCUUUUCCUUAAUGAAAUGAAAUACGCCCUACAAUUUCAAAUGGAGGGGAGUAUCUUUUUCUCUCCAUGUGCUUUAGUAAUUCCCAUGUUUCCAUAAUUUUUAUCUGGGGAAGCUUGUCAAGAUUCUGUACUGUCCAUUUUAUUGUGAGGACUUUUUGUUGAAACAAUAUUAGGAUUUUUUUUCAAGAACAUGAUGCAUGUGUCAGCUUUUAUUUCCUUCAGUUACAUAUCAUUUUCCGCUACUGACGCUCUUGUUUUUUUUGUGACAUGUAGGAUGUUAAUAGUGUAGCUGCAGAACAUUCAAGAGGCAGUGGACCUGUUGCUGAUGGAGUUGGUUCCUCAAAACAAACUCUGGCAAGUGUUCUUUUGUCUAGUUGAACAUCCAAUCCCAACUAAUCAAGAGUUCCAGGGGACUUGCUCAGAGUACUUACAGAUUCUAUACUGAAAGUCCCUAAGCACAGCUGCCGUUUCUCCUCUGUAUAUAGUGCUGUCUUGUACACUAGUCACUAACCAAAGCGUUUUUCUCUGGUUAUUAUUGUUUGCAGCCUAAUGAUGCAAGUCCAAUGGCCGUAGACGAACCAGGUGCUCAGAAAGUUGAAACAGAGAGCUCAAACAAAUUGCAGGACCAACCAACGAUGCACCAGAAGCCAUGAUCGGGCACCUUAACUUAGUACCUGAUGCCAUUGCAUCUGUAGCCUGUAGAUUCUUUUUGUUCAAGUUCGUUGACCGUAGACAAGCCGUGACAGUUGAAAAGCUUUAGCAGGGAGCGGAAACAAAUGCAAUUGGAACAGAUUAUGCAUCUGAACCCAUGAUAUUUUGAUUAUUACAUUUGAGUUUCUAACAUCUGCAAAUGAUAGUUUAUUUUCGUCAUGGAAACCUUAUCCUUAACCCCAAGCUGCUGCAAAGGAAUUGAUGUCGUCAUGAAAUAUGGUGUGGCCCAAAUAAGCAGUGUUUUUGACGUAGAUGGCACUUUUGGCACAUGUGAGUAUGUGACUUUGUAAUCUGUUGUAGCUAGGCGAAAGCUCUGUUGGUUGGAGUUGUCUUCUCUUCUCAUCCCUUGUGUAUGGGGAUGUCUCUAAUUGCCUGGAUAAGAGCUUGUGGUAGCCUAUUAAUUAGAAAACUAUUAUUUAACAAAUGCUAGUUUACUGAUGGGCCGCGGGUCACAGCUUGUCUUAUUUUACCCUCGAUUGCAUUAGAUGAAGUUGUGGCUUGCUGCGAUAGUGAUGAUGUGGUAAUUUCUUUCUUCUGUAUGCUGGCUUUGGAUUUUCGUAUGGGAAGGUGCAGGUCCCAUCCACUGAACGGAGAACGCAACAGGAGGGCAGAGGGACUGGUGAUGGAAGAUAUGGUUGUCAAAAUUUUGAUUCAGAUCUACAAUUUUACGACUUGAAGAUGUACUAGUUUGAUUGGACUAAUUUUUUAGAAGGUAGAAUACUCUAUGAUUUUACGAUUCUGUUAUGAUUCUACAACUUGCAAUCUUGUUGAGAGAGGCGUCAAAUUAAAAGUUGGUUUUUUGCGCCUAAGAUAUUCUACUCCCUCUGUCCUAAAUUACUAUAUUUGUUUUGACCUUCAUAUAUAUUAAUUUGGGACGGAAGAAGUUGGUGGCAUCUGAUUAAUGUUAUAGCCUGCCAUGGCAUAUUACUGCUCCACUUCAACAAACAUGAAGUUCGCUGCAAAGCAACUACCAAAACUUAAGUCAGUGAAUUAUUCCAUUCCCUAUCAAUAACUUCAUCGUUUACCAAUAAACAGCUAUCCAUUUUAUUUCAGAAUGAGGAGACAACGUCUUUCUUGUAUGUCAUGCAGAUGUUUCCGCGUUGAGUGAUAUCAGAAAUAUAUUUGUGAAUUAUCUCAUACUCCCUCCAUCCUGAAUUACUACUCGUUUUGACUUUUCUAGAUACAUAACUUUUGCUACGUAUCUAGACAUACAUAUAUAGAUACAUAUCAAACAUUUUGUAUCUACAAAAGUUAAAAUGAAUGUAAUUUGGGACGGAGGAAGUACUAACUAUGAACUGAACUAAUUUGUAACCUAAUAAUUUUGACUUGUACGGUCUACAUAAUUGCGUACACUACCGGAAACAGUAAAUUCGCUGAGUGUAAAAAUUUUGCCGAGUGCUUUCUUUCGGGCACUCGGCAAACAGCCUAUUUGCCGAGUGUAUUCAACGGGACACUCGGCAAACAUAUUACACUCGGCAAUAAGGUCGUUUGCCGAGUGCCAUAAAUAAGACACUCGGCAAACCGCUCAAAGACACUCGGCAAAGGUCCGACACUUGGUAAAAAACCGGCGCGUGCAUCGCACGUGCACCGUCCGUCACCGGACUGGGCCAGCUGUUAGUCGUUUGCCGAGUGUUGGACGCCGACACUCGGCAAAGAGGCCGUUCGCCGAGUGCCGCCCGCCCGCACUCGGCAAAAAAAGAAGUUCACCGAGUGCCCUCCAAGACACUCGGCCAACAUAUUACUUCGCCGAGUGCCUCACCUUGUACACUCGGCAAACACAAUACUUCGCCGAGUGUUUUAUUUUGCACUCGGCGAACGAAAAAAAAAUUCGUCCCCUGGCCUCCACACUUUUUCUACUCCCCACGUAGGAGAUUUUGUAAUCCAUAAUAAAAGUUGGUAUAUUUUGUGGUCUGUUUGCUAUUUUUAAUGAAAUGAUUGCAUUAAUAGGAAUGUUUUUUAUUCAUGUCAGAUUUUAACUGCAGGUACAUGAAAUAAUGGAUUAUAAUCAGUGGAAAAAUUAUAUCCAUAUUAUGGAGUCCGGAUUGAGGUCUCAACCAGGAAAUGAAAAGAAAUUUUGAACAUUGUUUUUAAAAAACACGACCACGAACGUGUGGUUGAAUGGUUGUUAAAUUCUAAAAAAAGCAAACGAAAUCUGAAAAUCACAAGAUUUGUCAAGAUGUCAUGAUAUUAUGUGUGGAGGCUGUGGUAAAAAAUUGAGAAGGUUUCUCCCAAAUUCUGGCAUAUGAUGCUUAGAAGCCGACUCAUCUUUUGGAAGGAUUCAUAGAAGUUAGAGAGGACACAAUGAGAUUUGUAGUCCAAGUGACACUUGAGUUAAGGUUUGGGGUCAAAUCUUUUUGUAUAGGCAACAUACAACACAGAUUGGUUCGUGUCAAAAUUUUGGAAUUUUUCGGAUGCGUUUACUAUUUUUUAUUGAUUAAAUGCAAUUACAUAUUUUUAUUAGAUAUAAAUGCAAUUUGCUCUAUAACUGCAUGAAAUAAUAGAACAUUAUCAGUAGAAAAAUAAUUUAACCAUUGUUGAGUGAUGUUGACACGAUUUUGCCCAAGUAUAUUAGAAAAAGUUCAGUAAAAUACGUCAUUUCAUGUACACUUUGCCGAGUGUCUAUAGAAAACACUCGGCAAAGAUAAUAUUUUGCCGAGUGUAUACGAGAACUUGUGAAUGUUAUUUGUGUGCUUGUGAUGCUUGUGGUGCAAUUUAUAUGCCUGUGGUGUAAUUUAUAUGCCUGUGCUUUUCUGGUUGUUUUUUGAGAGGGGUCUUUUAUACGUAACAUUUCUGUUUUUGCAGUAGGGGGAUGGAUACUAAAGAGGACAUUUUCUGUUAGUUCGACGGCUUUGCCGAGUGCAUUGCCAAAACACUCGGCAAAGGUGUCAUAAAAUUUUUGCGGGACUGGCCUCUUUGCCGAGUGCCAAGAGGAAGGUACUCGGCAAACUAUGUUUGUUUGCGGAGUGCCACUGGAAAACACUCGGCAAACGGCUCAAAAAAAUCUGUCGGGUGGGGCCUCUUUGCCGAGUGCCACGGGGAAGGCACUCGGCAAACCAUGUACCUUCACCGAGUGCCUUAUGGAAAUACACUCGGCAAAGAUUUUCUUUUUGCCGAGUGUCAUUUAAAAUACACUCGGCAAAACAAAAGUUAUCGCCGUUACCGUCAUAGACCGUUAUCGCCUUUGUGCCGAGUGUUAUCUUUUGCCGAGUGUUUUCUGGCACUCGGCAAACACACUGUUUGCCGAGAGAAAGUUUGCCGAGUAGGGUUCGCCGAGUGUUACACUCAGCAAACCCUUUGCCGAGUGUAUUUGGACCUUCGCCGAGUGCUUGGGGCACUCGGCAAAGUUACUGUUUCCGGUGGUGGUAGCUGCUCUUCACAUGUCGCGCGUCGUCAAAUCCCGAAGGGCUCCAAAAGAAAACCCGUGACACAUCCCCUGCUGCUUACAUUAACAUGAUCCGUUGAUUUCUCCACUGGGAUGUUUAUGGGUACGGCAAGUACGGACCGUGAGGUCUCGGAGGACCAGUUCCUAACGCACGCGUGUAGGAUUGACCACGAGCUUGGCACUGUUCGUUGCACGCAGGAUGGUCGGGGUCCAAAGCUCCGCCGGAACCUAGCCCUGGAAAUUAAUCAGGAGUACGUGUAUAUAUACAGUAUUCAAGUAAUUUCCUUGGUAGUCAGGUCUAUCCGUCUAUGAACCUAUGGUCCAAUAAUCUAUAUUGAAAGAUGCCACGGGAUGAUGAGGAAAUUAAACGAGCAGUUUAGAGUAGUAGCUAACCAACGCCACGGAUUCCAUGGCAGAUGGAGCUGGGCAUGAUCACCGUGGAGACGACGAGCAGUGCGAGCACGAGGAAACGGGCGGUUUUGGUGGAGGACGCCAUCGCGCGUGCUUUGGCUCGCAGCGAGCUGUUUGCCCCUGGUUGGGUUUAUUUCCUGUGAAUUGGAGCUAUGCUAGCUGCUGUUGCUUGCUCGAGCACUAUGAACAUGGAGGCCGUAUUUAUAGGCAUCAAUGUUAUCAUACGGCCGGCCUGAUAGAGAAAGAAAGGCAAAAUAUUUCUAUGAUGAUCCAGCGAGCGGAGCCACCGGUAAUUUCAGUGCAAGGUGACACAGCGAGCAUGCCACGCACUAUGCCAGCGUGCGUUGUAACUUUUCACUCCGGAAGGAUGUCCAUGCACGCGUCGAGGAGGUCUCCGGCCGGUUAGUCAAGAUUCGCCGUAUCGCCACCGUGCGAGACCAGCAAAGGAAACCAGCAUGGGUGGAGUCGACCAAGCGACGACGUAGAGCUAUGGAACAUUGUCGUCGCUCUUCAGAGUGCGGCUGCGGCACGAUGAGCAACAGCGACCUUGCUCCUCCUGGCACGGCGGAUCAAAAUAUAUAGCACCGCUACCUUCAUAUCGUCUACUAGAAAAAUAACCUCUCGUCCCAAGACUUAGUACCCAUUAUAUUUGAAACAUAUGGUUGUCAAAAUUUUGAUUCAGAUCUACAAUUUUACAACUUGAAGAUGUACUAGUUUGAUUGGACUAAUUUUUUAGAAGGUAGAAUACUCUAUGAUUUUACGAUUAUGUUAUGAUUCUACAACUUGCAAUCUCAGAGGUCUCAAAUUAAAAGUUGGUUUUUUGCCAAAAUAUUCUACUCCCUCCGUCCCAAAUUACUAUUCGUAUUGGCUUUUUCUAGAUACAUAUCUUUUGCUAUGUAUCUAGACAUUAUAUAUAUCUAGAUGCAUAGAAAAAUUUUGUAUCUAGAAAGGCCAAAAUGAAUAGUAAUUUAGAAAGGAAGGAGUAGGUGGUAUCUGAUUAAUGUUACAGCACUAUCUACUGGGUCUGGGAGUAGCCGUUGCAUAUUACUGCUCCACUUCAACAAACAUGAAGUUCGCUGCAAAGCAACUACCAAAACUUAAGUCAGUGAAUUAUUCCAUACCCUAUCAAUAACUUCAUCGUUUAACCAAUAAACAGCUAUCCAUUUUAUUUCAGAAUGAAGGAGAUAACAUCUUUCUUGUAUGUCACGUAGAUGUUUUCACAUUAAGUGAUAUCAGAAAUAUAUUUGUGAAUUGUCUCGUACUCCCUCCGUCCUAAAUUACUAUUCAUUUUGACUUUUCUAGAUACAUAACUUUUACUACAUAUCUAGAUAUGCAUACAUCUAAAUCUACUAGGUAAAACUACGACGUUAUUACAGAGUGAAUUAGAUAUGAUGAGAUAUUGUUUUCGUGCUGCAACUAGGCUUCCCAAGAAUCACUCCGAAGUGGUGGAAUCUUGAUCGAUGUGCUAUGUUCCACUAUGGCAUGCCGCUUCUUGACCGGGAUCACACUGACACAUCGAUGCAUUAUUCUUUAUUGUGUUUGUAAGUAGUUAUUAGCAGUAGCUCUAUUCCAAAGGCCUAUCAAACAAUACCCCUCAGCUAGCUAUAAAAUUGGAAAUUUGGAACCCAUCCGUCCAAUACAAGGGAACCUUAGUUUGUCCUAAUUAAGUCACAUUAUGAAAAUAUAUUUCAAAACAAAUAUAAUUAUACUCAUUUGAUAUUGUAAAUAUACUAUCAUUUCUUUUCUAUAAGUAGUAUUGCAUCUAACUAAACAAUAUUGUUCAAAUUCAUAAUAAUAUAUAGUUUUGUUUCACAAUGGCUGUCGUGAUAACUAGUAGAGAGAGCUUUCCUGAAGACUACCCCACCCACACCAAAAGUCUCAGCGAAUGUUCAGAACUUCAGAAGAUCUACCUGUUCAAUAACAAAUUAUCUGGAAUCAUCCCAGACGGGUUAGGUACACUCUCCAACCUAUCAGUUUUAUUUCUCGCCAACAACAAUCUAACUGGCGGUGUUCCUCUUUCACUCGGGAGCAAUUCAUUUAUCAGGACUGUCAUUCUCAUAAACAACACGCUAACCGGAGGCAUCCCACCUCUCCUUGCAAACAGUUCAUCACUUCAAUUGCUAGAUUUAACAAACAAUCAUCUCAGUGGGGAGAUUCCUUCUGCUCUUUUUAAUAGCUCAUCAAUUGUAAUAUUAGCCCUUGGGGUUAAUAACUUCGUUGGAUCUAUCCCGCCACUUGUGCAUACCUCGUCACCACUAGAGAUUCUAAUCCUAUCAGAAAACAAUCUCUCAGGUAGCAUACCUACCUCUCUAGGAAACUUUUCCUCUCUGACAUGGCUUUUGCUUUCGCAGAACAGCAUCAAAGGAGCCAUUCCAUCGAGUUUAAGCAUUAUUCCUACAAUAGAACAAUUAGACCUGAGUUUCAACAACCUGUCUGGGGACUGUUCCAGCUUCUCUUUACAACAUAACAACGCUGACAUACCUUAACAUGGGCAUGAAUAGCCUCAUUGGGGAAAUUCCAAAUAACAUAGGACAUACCCUACCAAAUAUUCAAACACUGAUUUUGCAAGGAAAUAAACUUAGAGGUCAAAUCCCCGCAUCCCUAGCCCUCGCAGCAAAUAUUCAAGUGAUAAAUCUCUGUGACAAUGCAUUCAGUGGAAUUGUUCCCUCCUUUAGGAACCUUCCCUACCUUACUGAACUGAAUCUAGGGAUAAAUCAACUCGAAGCCGGAGAUUGGUCUUUCUUAUCCUCAUUGAGAAAUUGCGACCAGUUGGUUUACCUAUGCCUAGGCAGGAACAUCCUUAAAGGAACACUACCAAGUUCCAUUGGGGACCUUCCAAGGAGUUUACAAGUAUUAUUGUUAACAGCAAAUAAAAUAUCUGGAGCCAUACCAAAGGAGAUUGAGCAACUCAAAAACCUUACACUUCUUUACAUGGAACAUCAUUUACUUACUGGAAAUCUACCAGACUCAAUUGGAAACCUUCCAAACUUGUUUGUCCUUAGCUUAUCCCAAAACAAACUUUCUGGACAAGUACCUCUGUCCAUUGGUAAUCUCAGUCAACUCAGUGAGCUUAACUUACACGAAAAUAAUUUCAGUGGUUCAAAUCCCAAAAGCUUUAGGAUACUGCAAACAUUUGGAAGCACUGAACCUCUCCCAUAAUAGCUUCAGUGGUAGCAUACCGAAGGAGCACUUUACUCUUACCUCGCUUGCGGAAGGUUUUGAUUUGUGUCACAACAAACUGUCUGGAGAAAUACCACUGGAGAUUGCCGGCUUGAUAAACCUCAAGUCCCUGAAUAUUUCCUAUAACCAGUUGAGUGGAAUAAUCCCCUAAACUCUGGGACAUUGCAUGCACUUGGAGUCCAUCCACAUGGAAGGGAACCUUCUACAUGGGACAAUCCCUGAAUCUUUCACUAACUUAAGAGGCGUCAGUGAGAUGGAUCUUUCUCUCAAUAAUCUGUCUGGUGAAAUCCCUGAAUUCUUUGAGUCCUUCACAUCUAUGAAGCUUCUGAAUUUGUCAUUCAACAACCUUGAGGGACCAGUACCAACAGGUGGGAUAUUUCAGAACACAGGAGUGGUGUUUAUUCAAGGUAAUAAGUUGCUAUGCGCCAGCAUCCCUUUGCUACAGCUGCCACAGUGCAAUACAGAGGCAUCCAAAAAAUGGCAAGCCUCUGUUAUUCUGAAGAUAGUAGGAUUUACUGCUCUUUGUUUGGUCUUGCUAUCAUGGUUUGCCGUUGUUCUUUUGAAGAAGAGAAAGAAAGUUACACAAUCAUCUCAUCCAUCCUCCAAGGAGUUGAUGCAGUGCUCAUACCCUGAUUUAGUCAAAGCUACAAAUGAUUUCUCUUUAGCCAACUUGGUUGGCUCAGGAAAAUCUGGAUCAGUCUACAAAGGUAGAUUUGAGUUUGAAGAACAUACAGUUGCAAUCAAGGUUUUCAAACUUGACCAACUUGGCAUACCAAAGAGCUUCAUUGCUGAGUGCAAGACAUUGAGGAACACUCGCCAUCGUAAUCUUCUAAGGGUGAUAACUGCAUGCUCAACAUUUGAUACAAUAGGAAAUGAGUUCAAAGCUCUCAUUCUUGAAUAUAUGCCUAAUGGUAGCCUAGAGGGCUGGCUCUAUCCUAAUCUGGACAAGUAUGGAUUGAAAAGACCAUUGAGUUUGGGCUCCAGAAUAACAAUAGUCACGGACAUAGCUUCUGCUUUGGAUUAUCUGCACAAUCAUUGUGUGCCCCCUGUGGUCCAUUGUGAUUUAAAGCCCAGCAAUAUCCUUCUUGAUGAUGUCAUGGGUGCACGUCUUGCUGACUUCGGGUUAGCUAAGUUUAUUCUUAGCUUUAGUCAUUCAUGCCAUCAUAGUUCUACAAGCUUAUUGGGACCAAGAGGAUCAAUUGGAUACAUUGCACCAGGUGAAAACAUUUCCUACAAAAACUGGAGAUUUUAAAUAUCACAACCGUUUUGUCUAUUUUUUAUUAUUCAUGUUUUACAUUUCCACUAUUUGAUAAUGUUCUUUUAUUUUUUUUGUCGGUAUUAAGAGAUAAAAAAUUGUUUGACCAAUUACACAUAUAUUACAGAGUACGGCUUCGGGAGCAAACUCUCAACUGAAGGCAAUGUCUACAGCUAUGGAAUUAUCAUCUUAGAAAUUCUCACAGGGAAGCAUCCAACAGAUGGGAUGUUUACUAAUGGUUUGAACCUUCACAAGUAUGUGGAAAAGGCAUUCCCUCAAAAGAUUGCUGAAGUUCUAGAUCCUUGUAUUGUCCCAAGUUCUGAAGAUGGUGAUGCGGACAACAUUUUGACCAUGGAAAUAAUGCAACAGAUGGGGUGGAUAGCUGCAUCUUGCAUCUCGUUAAACUCGGUCUUUUGUGCUCUAUGGAGACACCAAAUGAUCGACCAACAAUGCAGGAUGUUUAUGCUGAAGCCAUCACAAUCAAAGAAGCAUUUGCAGUGCUACAUGGUUGAGCAAAAAGUACUGUUAUUUUUGUUGUUCACAUACUAGUAGAGCAUAAUGGGCUUAAGAAUCAUUUACUUUGUGGUUGUGGGUCAGGUCUUCCAUUUCGCUACUGUGUUUGUGUUUGUCAUGUAUCAGAACUAUUAAACAAGUAAUGAAAUAAAGUUCGCCACAGGAACUACAUUACCUUUGUUUUUGUUACAUUGUCUAAUUGAUGCAAGUUCCGUAAUAGCAUUCUACUACUUUGACACCCAGUUGAGCGCAACAAUAUAGAAACUAGUCAGAAUCGUGCAAGGCCAAAUUAUUUUUGAUGAAAUAUGGAUUUCUCCUCGGUAAAAAAAAUGGGAGGAUAAUUGGGUCUCUAUAUUUUGUAAUAACGAGGAAAAAAUAUUUUUUUAAUCGUGACAGUUUAUACAAAAUAGGGUCAAGAGGGCCUGCUAGACGUACCUCUUGCUUCAAUCAACGGGCAAAGGUCUGAUUCUCAGUUCAAGUGUCCAACAUAAAACCAUAGACCAAAUUACCAACUGUACUAAUUAUUCAGAUAAGAGUAAUAGGCCCAAACAAUCGAUAAGCCGCGGAAUUGAAGAAUGCAAAAUUCCACAGGGAGAGGGCUCGUGAGCUGCAAGAAGGGAGGUGACUUACUGGCCACAUGGCACCCAGCCCGGCGGCCGGUGCUAAUCGUGUGCACGAGGUUACUCAAAAAUCCUCAUCUGGUUUAUCAACAUCGUGCCUUCGUUCCGCAGGUCGUUGGCUCCCAGAACCAGGGACCCAAGGCGGGGGGUAGCAAUGUAGGACGCGCCGCCAAGGCUCCAACGACAGCUGCUGCACCUCCGUCCUCCGCCCGACGGCCUGCGCCGCCGCUCGCCGCUGCCUCGUUGGCUCGUUGGCGUUGCAGCCGUUGUGGGUCGGCGAUGUGCGGAGGAGUCUUUUGAGUGGUGGUGAUGUUUUUCGGCCCUAGGGAAUAAAUGGGCAUUGAAGGGCCUUCUAUGGUCUUUAGCGUGCACCAAGGUCGAAUUGACUUCUGACAUUUACUUUGUAUUUAUUUCAAUGUAUCUGUCUGCAUUUUUUUUACAAGUUAUUAUCUGCAUUGACAGUGACCAUGAGCUUGCUCACCUUCCUGGUCGCUGCAUUCUCAGUCACACGCAGCUGCGACGCUGCCACUAAUGAAUGUGCGUUGCAAUUCAAAAGUUUCAGUAGCAGUGCUUAUCUGUAUCUGUUUCUCUUGAGACAAACAAUGUCCAGAAAUGCUUUACAUAAGGCAUUACAAAGGAAAACGCCGGUUAUAUAACUUGACCAAAUUAAUUUCACAUCCUCGUCACUCUUGCAUUUUCUGCCUAAAAAUUAAUUCCGCUUCAAGCCACUAUUAUACAAACAUGGGCCUUAACAGGAGAUGUUCACUCAAAAGAGGCCACCUGAAUGUGAUUAUAUGCAGGAGCUCAACCUUCAGAGGCACGCAUUGACAGAAACAGAGGAUAGGCAGGGGAAAGACCAUCCACAUCAAACAGCAUCUCAGAAAUGAAAACUGACGGCAUCACUUCACUUCCGCGAUUAGGAACUUUGUGCUGACUCACCUCUUUGAACCGGUGGAUACGUGAUUGGCUCAUUCUUUUACUAUUCUUGUACUCCGGCCGUCCCGCGUAUUCUGCACUUACCGGUGUUCAAGUUCAAGUUAGCCGAUGACUUAUAUCGUGUGCAGCAGGGAUUAGAUUUUGACUAUCAAGUAUGUCCAGAAUGGAGCAAUGCUGGACCUCAAGCAUCUUAACCUCAGUAGCAACUUCAUCGGCGAGGAGAUCUUCGACCUUGGAGGUAAGGUGCGAUACAGGCGCAUCCAUCGGCAGCGUACCUCACUGGCACCAUCCCUACAGAGGCUAUCUGUGCUGGGCCAGCGAUGACCACAGGUGAGAUCCCAGCAGAUAAUAGUCAUCCUGAGUAACCUGGCAGAGUCGCAGGCUGUACCUUGGCGACAAGCCUCUACAACUUUUUGAAAGCCCAGUUCCUGCUUCCCUUGGGAACCUCUCAUCCCUAGCAGUCUUGAUUGAGUCUUGGAUCUACAUGAGCAGGUUAACAGGCAAUUUUCCAUCCUAAUCUUCCUCAGUGUUCUUUCUGCCAAGAAAAAAACUACAUCACAGGCUGAUUCCCGGAAGAACUAGUAGGCUCCAUGCUCCCAUUGACCUAUACGCAAACUUGAAACUUCAAUCAACUUGAGGGGUUUAUAGCUUCAUCACUGUACAUCAUCUUGUCUCUGACAAAUCAUAUCUGCCCUACAGUUCAACAAUCUCAGCAGGCUUCUUCCCAUUGUUGACCGGGCUAACAAGUUCCCCAUGCUCCAGGGUCUCCUGGUAGUAGAUGACAAUCACUUUCCUGGUAAUCUUUUAACACUUGCAAGUAACUGGAAGACCACAAUUUGUUUUCUGGAGCGGUACCCAUAUGCCACGAAUUAACCUCAGACCAGGAUUUGUAGUCACUCGGUACAAAUAAGCUAGAAGCAAUAGAGCUACAGGGAAUAAGAGACAUGUACAGUAAUCACCUAUUAACUCAAGGAACAUGGAGAUCAUCUUGUGUUUCGAGCUCUUCUCCAUUUAAAAUUGAGGCUCCUUCAUGCAUUCAGUAGCAAGCAGCUGUUUACGCAACUUAAUUGUCAACCAGAUCAAUGUUUGGAACAUGAAGUGCCCAUUGCACCCCUACAAAUAAGAUCGCUUGAUUUCGGAAAUUGUUUGCAUCAAACAGUUCAGGAUUAUCACAAGGGUGACAAAAAAAAAAAGGAUCAUUGUCCAUGCAAUUGGAUCAGAAGUACAAUAAAAGAGCUUCAGCUUUCAGUUCAUUUUGCAGAAGUAACUUUACAUAUAGAUAGUAGGGAACAUUUGUAUUAUCAUGAGCCAGUCUGAACAUAUCACUUCAAUAAAUUUUCAAAUCUUCCUACAUUUAAAACAGAUGUGAAUUAUGAAUGGCUGAUCAAUGACCAAAUGUCAAGCAGAAGUUUAGACAGCUGUAAGCUAACCAGGCUCAUAGAAGAUGAAGGAUUACAAGGAAGUCGCAGUUCCAUACUUGCUGUGAGAGUUCAAUAGCACGUGGUAGAUUGGAUCUUGAUAUGAUACUUGGAAAAGUUGGAGAGCAAUGUAGCCGCAUGUUGUGAUGCUAUAGCACAGAAGGAUAAAAAGGAUAAGGGUUCUUAAAUUACGUAAAUAAAAUCAUCAAUAUGAAUCACAACUUUGGAUGUCAAUAUACUCAUAAGAGUGCACCAUAACUGUAAAAGGAAAUACAUCUAUAUGUAUCCCAAAUACACAAGUCUUCCUUCAUAAACUUCACACGAUGGGGUUACAGCAACUUUACAUAUUGUAGAUCAUGUAACUUAUGGCGGUAUAUAUUCUUUCAAGUAGGAAAACACCACCCCCAUAUGAAUCACGCAUAGUCCCAAGGUCAGCUACUACUGGGGAGAAGCAUUAGAUAUUCCAAUGCUUAAGUAUGAAAUGUACACAUAUAGGUAUAUAGCAAGUUAAUUACAGUAUUAGGUGAUAUAGAUUCCUAGGUACACCUUAUGUUAAGAUUUACAAGCAGAAGUAUUCCACAAUCCCCUGAUGCAGGCAUGAGACCCGAAAGAAGCAGUUGCACAACAAUUACUAGUAUUUAUUGUUCACGCAUGACUUGGCUACUUGGCUAAGUAUUGCAGUAAAAUCAGCACACAACAAAUGGAUUUUGUGUAAAAAUAGUGGUAAGAUGCUGAUGUUUGGGGCCUCAAAAAGAUUCAUAUACCUUCCAAAGCAUAUCAACAAGACAAUCCAAAUGGUAGUUGAUAUCCAAGACGAUUCCUUGUGAGCAACCCAAACCUGCAGGCUUAUUAUCACGAUUAAGUAACCAUCUUCACCAAGUAAGACUUCGGAAAUUAGUAGGCAAGUCAAAUAUAAUAACCAUCGAAGUACUAAAAACAAUUGUUGCUGCACAUUUUAUACAAGGGUCUAAAAGAGAUAGAAGUAAUGUGCAGAUCAGGGUAUCCACUGGAAAUAUUAUGAGGAAAUUAAAUUGAUUAUGUUUCCACUGAAAUGGCAUGCUCCAAAUGUUUGAGAUAAAAUUAUAACAUCUUGGCAUGAUCAAAGCUCAGAAAAUUUCAAACAGAAAGUUCAGGAACUAGUUACAGAAAAGGGAUCUCCAUUCUUCGGACAAACUAAUAAUAACAGUAAAUUUUCACAUUAUGUUCAUAUAAACAAACUAAUGUCUUUUAGAUAAUUAGUUUAAACAAAUACUAAAAGAUGAAGGAGGGCAUAUUUAGUGCAAAGCAUGAACUAGUUGCAAUAAAGCAACCUACGUAGGUCUAAGCACUGAAUCAACACCGAAAAAACCUUUAGACUCUAAAGAAUGUUUUUUCCUCGAACUACGCAGGAGAGCUGCGUGUCAUUCCAAUAAGAAACUCUACAGAAUGUUGGACUCUAACACCUUUAGCUUUAGAAGUUCAAGAUAAAAUCUGAACAAUUAUAGUAAUAUUAUUUGUUUUAUUUUAUAAUUUCUUUCUAUUUAUAAUUCCUCGGGGAUUUCUCUUUGUGUUUCUCCUGACACACAUUAAUUGGGAAGUUGACAUUUUGAGUGGAGAUAUGUUCCGAUUAACAACUGCACUUGCAAGGUUUUUUCAUUAAUGAUGAUUAGGUGCUCGGCUCCAAAAAGUUUGCAUGAUUGCAUCUAUUACAUGGUUUGUACUAAAUACAUGCCCAAGUUCAAGAUAUCUUACCGAUAUUGCAAAGACAUUUAUGUAGAAAUCAAUUAAGGUUGCCGCCAUCCACCUAAGUGCACAGUAGAAACAGUGAACUUUAGAUUUCUAUUUGAUAAAGGAAACUUUCAGUUUUAGUUCACAUGAUGAACAAAAUAUAUUUAGUUGACAAUCUAAAUUGUCAAAUGAAUUAAAUAUUUACACAACAUUUUUCACAAAUGUCAACAAUGUUAACAGAUGGAUACUUAAAAUAAUAGCUCUCUUUUGACAAGGGAUUAAAUUGCACAGGCAGUUGCUAACUUGUUGAAUUUUCCAAAGCUACAUGUAAUUGAUUCAACUCAUCACAACUUGACAAGCAGAAAUAUAAUAUGUCACGACCACCCUUUGCCAUGACCUGCAAUCGCUGCAGCAGGAGAUGGCGGGGAGGGGCAACUGUGGCCAAGGUUGAAGUGGUGGUGACUGGUGACUGGUGAGUGUAGGGGAGACUGAGGCUAUCAAAUCGGUGCAGGGGACAUAGAUAUAUGGUCCCUACUAGUCAGAUUACAAAGCAUUUAACAGGAUUCAACAGAGAUGGAUUUUUUUUUUAUCUUUUUGGCAAGGAGAUGGAGAUAGAGUUAACUAAAUGUUUGCCAAACUUAACUUAGACAUGUAAUUUUGACAAAACACCUAUUGCUUCAUGGAAUUUACUCAACACAAAAGUUUAGGAAUUAAAUCUUGACUGUAACUUCAGUGUACAGGCUUCUAGCAGGAUCCCCGCAUUUCAAGCUUGCUCUAUAUAUUUGGAAAGUUGAAAUCACAAGGGCUGCGAGUUAUUUCUCCUAAGCUGCUGCAAUCUUGCAUCUAAUUACUCUUUUUACACUUGUAUCCAUUACAUUGAGCUCAAUGGGCCUCAGAAACUAGCAAGGCAAUAAAGUAUGAAUUAUGAUGUAUUCACUUACGGUGUCAAUAAUUCCUUCCUAAAAGGAAGUCCAUCAGUGAUGACAGUAUAUGUGACAACGGCAGCCAUGAAUAUCCCCAAAAUGCUGAACAUAAUCCUUCCAAUUAUGACAUAAGAGCACUUUCUUUGGGACAGAUUACCCUGCCUGGAAAUGUUUUGAGAAUACAUGUCGAGACAAGUUAGCAUCGAUGUAAACAAAGAUGCAACUAACAGCCACUUUAUGCGAAAUAACAUUCCUUGGACAUCUCAAUACAUCAGCAAGAUCAGCUUGUGUGGUCAUAGGAGUGUGGCAGCAGGGAAUGUAGUAGAACACAGUUUGCUUUGUCAAUAUGUUACUCAACAUCUAGGAUGCAACUAAUCCUGAACUUUCAGUAUUUUAGUUAAUUAGCUGAUGAAGGCAUGGCAUAUUAAAUGGUUAAUUGUGUAUAAUUUGGUACUCUACCUGAUAAACAGAAGAUCAAGUGGAUCGUGAGAUGGCCCUCCAGGUGUCACUUCAAAAAGCUUUGUAACAAUAUAAGCACAAGUAGCAGCACUGAAAGAUUAAAAAAAAAAGAGAAGCAAAAAGGUGGAUACCAUCAAGUUGAUAGGAUUCAUCCAUUCAAACAAAAGCAUAGAAGCCUACAAAGAAGCCAUAAAACUAAAAGUUUUACAAAAUAUUAGAGAGAAGGAAUCAAAUACCUGCCAAAGCAAAACAACAGAACCACCCACACGGCAGAACUAAUCCAGUUUGCUUCCUUGUAGAUAACCCACGCCUGAAACACCAUGCAAGAAGCAUCUCUAACUUCAGUCAGAAAUUAAAUUUGACCUCUCCAUAAGCAGCCCCUUUACCAUCCAUGGGAGGUACCAAGAGAUACUAUUAAACUAUACCUUCAGAGGUAACAAAAUAUUUGAAGUAUUUUGGUACUUCCCCAGGUUAUAACUUGACAGUGUUUCUUGUUACCUCCAAAGGAUGGUAAAAAAGGUUCUUCCAGCAAACGUUUCCUCAUAAGGCGGUAAGCAUCACAGGUUUUCGGUAAAAAAAAACCAUGAUAAAAAAGUGACUGAUUAGGAAUUGAAGUCAGAAAAAUCAAGGCAUUACCGCAAUUGCAAUUACAUUCACAUAGAAAUCAAUCAGUGUUGCAUUCAUCCACCUACACACAAUAAAGAAAUACAAUUUGAAGUGAAUGUAUGGAUUUUGUGUACAUGUAAGCAUGUGAAAGAGUGAUGAUAUGACUACUCUCUGAUGUAACACAUAGUUCACUUGUCAAAAAAUGUGCCAAUUCUCUCAAGAACAAACUUCACUGUAUAUAGCAUGAUUCCAAACCAACUCUAAAAGUAACAUCUCUCAAGACUACUAUUUGCAGCACUGUCAAGCAAGCCUAAGUUUUCAUGAUAAGAUAUUGAUAACACACCAAUUCCACCUUACUUAUCAAGGAAAACGCAAACACAAGAAACAUUCUACACUCACUGUAUAUAGCAUGAUUCCAAACCAACUCUAAAAGUAACAUCUCUCAAGACUACUAUUUGCAGCACUGUCAAGCAAGCCUAAGUUUUCAUGAUAAGAUAUUGAUAACACACCAAUUCCACCUUACUUAUCAAGGAAAACGCAAACACAAGAAACAUUCUACACUUACGUGCUUAUAAAAAAUUGUCUUACACAAAUUUAUAAUCAACUAUGGUAAUAAGGUUCAGUUAACAAACUUCACUUCACAACAGAACACAUAUGGCUUUGCAAGUGCUACAUCAACAGUUCAUAACGUCUCCUGACAAUUUCACAAUGAUAAAUCCACCAAAAAUUUGCAACCAACCAGCAGGGAGCAUGCGAUUGACCCAUUACUUUUGCUAAUCAGCAGCCAAGAAAGUUGCCAUACACAACCCACAACCCUCACAAUGGCUACUUGAACACACGAACAUCCAAUUCAACAAAAUCGCAUUAGCUUCUCCUACCAAUCCGCAAGCAAGCACAUAACUGACGUAAGAAACUUACGACUUUGCCAAAGCUCGCCGCAGUAAUCACUAUCAAAUCCCCCACAAAAGCAUCAAAUCCCACGGAAGUUGGCGAGGAAAAAGAAAAUCAGUACUUACGGCGUAAGCAGCUCGGGGCGGAAAGGCGAGCCGUCGGUGGCGCAGGUGUACACCAGCGUGCCCACCAUCAGCAAUCCCAGCGCCGCGAACACCACCCUCCACGCGACUAGGGAUCCCUGCGCCGCCAUGAUCACCCCUCGAGAGGAAACGGCCCGCGGAUUUAGUGGGGGGCGAACAGUUGCCGGCGGAGACAAGUAAUAGGAGGAACGGGGAGUGGAUGGGACGCUGACACGUCGGCGCGGCGGAAGCGGAGGUGGGGGCGCGGCCACGUAGGCCGCGGGAGGCGCCGCCGCCGCAUCUCGCGACUUGGAAGUCGUGGAGGGCACCGAAGUUGCGGUUAGGAGUAGGCUUCUUGCGGGAGCCGAGUCGCCGGCGGCGACGGGCGGAGCCCCGCGAUGACGGCGGGGGAACGAAACGUGUGUGUGUGUAUGAGAAGAAAACGGGUUUCGCCCGGCGGGACAAGGAAAUGACGCCAUGGCCCAUUUGUUAGGUCCAAAGAAAACUGGGCGUCUUGCCGAAAAGAAAAGGAAACUGGGCCUAGUUCAAGGGACUGGGUACUAGAGGCCCACGAAAGAAACGGGCUGCAUAGGCCCGGAAAACCUGUCCAUCUUCCGAAGGUAGGAAGGUGUUUAACCUUCCGGUGUUUGAGAUUUGUGCGGUCCCUGUGGACCACACGAUCUCCUUCUUCCUCCCUCCACUCGCUCGGCCCUCCGUUACUCGACCAUAGCCGCCGCUACUCGUGCACGCCGACGAGAUGGUAGGGGAGGGUGGGAGGUGGGGGAGCGGCCGGUGGUGAGGUCGCUGCCAGUCGAGGUGGUGGUGGUGGCGGCGGCGAGGUUAGGGUAGGGUUAGGGUUCGGGAUUGUGGUGGGGAGGCUAGGUUAGGGUUAGGGUUCGGGGUUGUGGUGGGGACUCCAAUGGCCGGCGGCUGUAGAAGAGGAGGGGUGGAGGGCGGUGGUGGUGGGUUGGCUGACGGCAGAGGCGAGGCAACGCUGUUUGAUGAGCGGUGGGAUUAGGAAGGGUGGGGUCGACGGGGGUGAUGGUCGGUGGGGGGGUGGCGCGGCAGCCGCCGGCCGGGGUGGUGGAGGAGGCGGCGGCGGUGGUGGGAUCGCUGGGGAAGAAGGAAGGGAAGAGGUUAAUGGGCCAGAGUGGGCUGGAAGUUUCAACUCCUAUCUAUCUUCCACAAGAUAGAUAGGAGCCCCUGCAUAGGCCUCAGUUUUCUGUUUCUAUUCGCGUGCGAUUUAAUAAAUCCCUUUCGAAACGUCAGUGGACAAUCAUCUGAGAUACUAGUACGAUGUACCUCUUCUAUUGUUGUAUCAUUUGAAUUUUCUUUUUCCUAAAAGUAAUGUAACACCCAGAAUGCUCAAAGGAUAAAAUAUGCUUUGUAUAUUGGAAUACGUAAAGUUGAGGGUUAAAAGUUGACUUUUAGAUCUGUUGCUUGGAUGGACGAAUGGAGACCACGAUUGUGUAGAGCUCGUCGAAUCCAUUCUAUUUGAUCACUCAUAUAUUUUGUUUGGAAUUCAGAUCAUGAAGGUACGAACAUUGCUAUUUUAAGCGUGACUUACUGUAGCUAAGCCCACCCACCUAUUGCCGUGAGUCUCCUAUCUUUUUUUUCCCUUUUCUUUUCCAAUCUCAUCCCCAAUCUUUUUCUAAACCCUGCACCCCCUAAGUCUCGUACCCUGCACCGCCACCCUCCUUCUGACCGAGAUCCGUCAUCACCGUUCCUCUUCAAAAAUUGGUUGGACUUCCUUUCCUCUAUCCAUUUUCCCCCAAUUGAUUUUUCUUUCCUUGCUGUUUAUGGUGGUGCUACCAUGUGGGUUGCAAUUUAGGUGCAAUCGAUGGGGUUGCCAUGACACUCUUCGCUAGGGAGAGGUAAACGACCGGAAGUCAUCGUUGGGAUUGCCGCUGUUAUCGUUGCCCUUGCUGUUUUCAAGGAGAAACCCUAGGUGAGGCAUGCCCCGAUAUAAUCCUUAUUUUCCCUAAGGUUUCAGAUGUCCUGGCACGUGCUUUUAGCGGCAUUCGACAUCGAUAAGGGCUAGGUCAAAGUUUUGCCCUCCUCAUUAUUUUCAGCACGUAGUCAAUCUGCGUAAUUUUCAGCAAUAGUUGUUUUACAUCAUCUUAAUAGCUUAAAAAAUAUAUAAAAUCUAUAUAUGAGUUGUAGAAGGUUUUGCAGAGCUUUCCAUAGUCGUAAAGAACACUACAAUCAGAUUUAAGAGCUGAGAGAUAUUGAAGUUUGAUUCUAUCAGUUUUUCAGAGUCGUAAUUCUAAGCAGAAUUUGUUCACCUAAAGUUUAGGCAACCCAAAUCACAUAAUUGGAUCUGUGGAUGAGUAAGUAAGUUGUAGGAAAUUUUAUAAGCUUUUCAGAUUGGUUAAGUUCAUCUUCGUAUGAAUUUUGGAGCUCUAGAUAUACUUGUUUUACUAGGACUGUUCUGCAGUUGUUGUCAGAUUUUAUGUUUGAGGUUCAUCUCAAAAUUAGCCUAUGUUGAUGAUUUUUUCUCUAUCUAUAGAUCACUAUAAGUUGUAAGUUCUGAAGUUAUCCAUAUGGCACAAGAUGAGAAUUUUUAGCCAUCAGGAUUAAAAGAUAAAAAAAAAGCAAAAGCGCUGCUGUCGUGUCUGGAUUUGUGUGUCUUCUUUAGAAUUUCAGGUUCGUGCGUAGGAACGCUUUGAAUUAUGUUGUUUAUGCUUGUGUGUGUUGUGUUGGUGCUGAGUUAUGUUUGUGAACAUGUGGUUCACUUUCGGAUCGUGCUUAGCUCACGUUCUUGUCCUUCGGUGAAGGCAAAUAAAUGUAGCGAUAUUGUCAACAUGCUUUAACAUUGUUGUUUGAAUUGCCUCCAUUUAAUUUCAGUACCUCACACUAGCAAGAUGAAUCUGAAUUUUAUCUUUAUAUUGGAGUAUCUUGUUCCACUUGACGCUUUACUUUUGAAGUCAGGAAUUUUGAGGUAUAUGAAGUUCAUGCAUUGCAAUCUUGCAUUUGCAUUCUCAUGUUAUUUAUGCACAUGAAGAAAACCGUAGCCGGAUUGGUGCGGUAAGUAUAGGUACAGCAACGCACGUUGAGAUAUAGUAAUGUGGUUGCAGCCCUCACCUCCUUCCUUGGGGAUGUGUGGAUAGAAGUGAAGUCAUGCAUUACAUUGCACCAUUUGCAUGUUCAUUAUGAAGUAUUGUUGUGAAUACUCGAAGUUAUGUGGUACUUCUUUUUAUUAUAUUGACUCUUAAAUUGUGGCUUAAUAUAUUAUGAUUUAAAUGGUUUAGAAGCAGUUUGCUUGUUGAGGUUUUCCAUAAAUCUCAUACGCUUUUCCCCUCCACAGGUUCUUGAGUUUGGAGGGUGCUUGGUUGGAUGGGAGUAGCAGCACGUGUGCACACACUUCUUUAUAUAUAUAUGUAUGUAUGUAUGUAUGUAUGUAUGUAUUUUAGACACGUUGUAAUAAAAAAACAUUCGGUUGUGAAGUCUUUGCUUUGCUUAUAGUAUCAUAUUUGGAUCCAAUUUGUAAGAUGUUCUAUCUACAUGAUGAUUUAAGUUGCUUCCGUGUGCUCUAUUUAUUUAUCUUUGUUGUUGUUUUUUAUGUGUGUGCUGUAGUAGCUGUAGUGUAGUGUGAUAACAUUUCAGAAUGUUGCUACUAAAUUUACCUAAAUGUUUAUUACCCCGAAUUCCUCGUAUGGUGACAAUACAAGAGCAAGAAACAGUCAGUUUUCACUCCAAGUGUUUUCUCUGUCAAAUAAGCAAGAAUUUGGUGUUAUUUUCUGUCUCAGUCUGUCAUAUGAAGAAUCUGAUGUGAUCCUAAAACAAAAGGAAAAGUAUCUGAUGUGGACAUUUUUAACUGAUGAGCUGUAUUACUGUUAGAGUUAAUCUGGCCCUGGGGGCUGGAGGCCGUGGUGCCAUAUGCGCAACACGUCGGCAGCAAUCACUAGCAAAACGACGUUGCUGCUGCAGCAGUAGAGCAUGGUCAGGUAUCCAUCCGGGCAUCCGGCCCAAUCUGUUAGCACUCCGGGUUCUGACGCUGUCGAAGACGAUGCCGAUUCAAAAGAUCAAGCUCGUGGGCCGCGUCAGGGCACCAGGUCACGCCGGCCCAACUCGCGGGUUGCAGGAACAGAAUGGGCCUGAAGGUGUUGUGUGCGUGCACGGAGGUGGCGUGUGUGAGUUAUCGAUCUGUAAGCCAUAAAGGCAGGAGAGAACACAGAGAGAGGGCAUCUUGUAAUCUAAUCAACUCUGAACUGAAGAAGCUGACCUCGUCCACCUCCCUGUUCUUCCUCUCUGCUCUCUGCUUCUUCCCCAAAUUCCCUUCUAGAUCCGGUAUCCUAACACAAUCUUAGCAGCCUCUGCCAAGUAUUUACGCCCUCGAUCGGAUCGCUCGAUCGUCCUCGUCCCCGCAGCACCCAAUACGUUUUCCCGCACGUUCUCUGAAUCUCUUCUGCUUUCAAUUGCUCGUCGUUGAACUCAAGGAGAGGGCAGCAUCCCGAUGCUUCCAUGCGGUCGGCGGCGAUGACACCAGACCAGACAGCCGGCAAGCAUCAGUGCACGGCCGGUGAAGGCGGCGGGGGAUACGAUCCUAAUCUGGUGCUAGGAAAAAGAUAAGGAUUGCAGGCCAUUUUCGUCUGGAUGGAUACCGAUCGAGGCAUCGACGACACCCGGAUCAGUAUGCGGCGGCCAUGAUCGCUCUAUCCUGUGGGCUGUGGCUAGAGUCGGCUACGAUACUGGAUAGCCGUGUUUCCGCGAGCAGGAGCAUUCCUGGCUUCCUUCUACAAUCUUCUUCAGAGUUCAGACGUCAGUACAUAUGAACCCGAACGAAACAUCGCGGCUUCAGUUCUGACUUCUGAGGUCACUCUGAAAUCUGAAAGGAUGAUGCUCUGUUUGUUCGAUGCGCCGAUCGACCGAUGAUCCAUGGCUAUAGUGAACAGUGAAGCCAGCAAUUCAGAAAACCCAUGCAGGUUUCUUCAGUUGAAGUGUUUCCAUUCAACUUCGCAUUAGAAAUGGAGAGUGACAUUUCCUACCAAGAGUUGGAGAUCUUUGCCAAUUUAAGGUUUUUCUGUGUGUACAAGUCAAAUGAUAGACUAUAACUUAUUCCUACCCUAAACGAACAUUAGAGGUGGCAUCUCGCAGCCUCGCGGGUAUAAAAAGAAGGAUAAAAUGCAGUUGGAUCAUGAGAUCAACACAGCCAGCUGGAGGAAUCGGAGUGGGCCAGCAAGCGAAGCACACUGUCUUCCUACUAUCCAAAGCAAGCUUUCAGUACUGUCAGCAUCGAUCUUGUAAAUUAGAUUUCGCUUAGCAACAGCAUAAACCUGUUGAUUAGUCCAAAGUCAACUUCUUCCCCUGUCCAUAGAUGCUCUAAUCUAUGUGGUUUCCCAUAUAAUUGCUUAACGAUGCUGCUUGCUGCCGGUAGUUCAGGACCACCUGGAUUGUCUGCUGCCGACCUGAACAUGGCCUAGCGUUAUAAACAAGUUCAAUGCAGGCAUUAAUCUUUUAACUUACGAUUGGAUUGGCAUAUAAGUAAGACCAAAUUGAGUUGUCUCUCUCAACUACUGGACUGAACAUAGUAUUUUAAAAUGAAACCACUAGCAGGAGGAAUCAGAAUGAGCCAGCAGGCGAAGAAGGUUUAUUUUCUUCUCAUGAUCCAAGGAGUUUUCUGUAUUACUAGCAUCGAUCUUGUAAACCAACUCCUCUAAGAGACAAUCUAAUCUUGUCCAUUGAUCCUAGGUCAAUCACUUGACGUGUCUGUUGAUGCUCUAACCGACGUAUUUUAUUUUUCAUGCAGUUUCCUUCACGAUGCAACCGUUAGUUCAACAAUCCUUAAUUGCUGGAGCCGACCUGAACACGACCUAUCACUAUAAACAAAGUUGAGUACAAGUAGUAUUUGGAUCCAGAUAUAUUGAGUUGAGUGGGACCAAAUGAGUUGUCUUUCUCAGCUCGUUGACUGACCAUACCUACUCUCCGUUCCAAAUUAUUCCAAUUUUUUAAGAAUCAAACUAUUUUAUAUUUGACUAAAAUUAUAGAAAGAAUGAUAAAGAUUUAUGGCACCAAAUAGAUAUACUAUGAAAUUUUAUUUAAUGAAAGAAACUAAUGAUACUUGGUAUUAUUAUGAAUAUUAGUACUUUAUUGUAUAAAUUUGGUCAAACUUGAGAUGCUUUGACUCUCCAAGAAAGUUAGAAUAACUUAUAAUUUGAAACGAGGGAGUAUUUCGGAAGUAAAAAUGCUAUUUUUUUUAAAAAAUAAAUGGAUGGGAUGGUGGAAGCAUGUAUAUGCUCUGUACACCACUGGGAAAGGUCAUCUAGCACCUUAGUACUGAUUGGUUUUUGACCCGGUACUAAUGCUCACAUUAGUACCGAGUCUAACACGGAACCCCUUGUGACCCCCUAGUACCGGAUGGGAGCUCCACCCGGUACUAAAUGUCACCCAUUAGUACCGGGUGGAGUUACCAACGGUACUAAAGAGCUCCAUCCACCUUAUCCGUCCACUCCCCCGGCCCAUACCUGCUCCCCUCUCUCCUUAUCCGCUCCCCCUCCCUCCCUCCUUCUCACUCUUGGCCCGGUGCCAGUCUCCCUCUUCCCUCCCUCCCUCUCUCACUCCCUCCCUCCCUCUCUCAUCUGUGCGCGCCGGUGGCCGAAGGGCGGCGGGACGGGCUGGCGGCGGCGGCAGGAGGGCGGUGGGCAAGGAGCGAUGGCCGGGGUCAGGUGGGAGGGGCGGCGGGGGCCGGGUGGGAUGGCGGCGGCCGGGCUGGUCUCCCUCCUCUCUCACUCCCUUCCUCCCUCUCUCAUCUGCGCGCGUCGGUGGCCGAAGGGAGGUGGGAGGGGCGAUAGGAGGGCAGCGGGCGGGGCCUGGGCUUGGGCCGGCGGGCUCGGGCAGGGUGAUUUCCUUUUUUUUAUUUUUUAAUAUCCUUUAGUACCGGUUAUUGCACCCGGUACUAAAGGCACCCCUUUAGUAUCGAACUAACAAUACCUGUUAUGAAACCGGUACUAAAGGGGGUUACUAACCGGUACCGAUGGCCCUUUCCCCAGUAGUAAUAUAGCUUUAGCCAUUAAUAGGUCAGCUGUGCUGUCUUCUGUUGCUUAAUUAGUAUAUCCUAAGAAUCAUGUAGUGAUAUAUGUAGUGAGACUGAACAUGAGCAAACAUUAUAAAUGGUAACUUUGAAGCUAUGGUUGGAUCAAUACGACUAAUUGAGUCUCGUCUCUCCGAAACAGCUAUGGGCGGUCUGUUAGUCAUUUGCCAACCAAGUUCUUUUCUCAUGAUUCAAGAAGGUUUCUAAGAGCAACUCCAAGAGGCUGCUAAUCUUAAUCCCAAUAUUUUUUUUAGGAAAAAGAGAAAAAACAAACUCCAACAGUCCACCCAAACCUUCUCCAACUAAAAAACAUCCUAGCAUCGCAUAUAUUUUAUCGUUGGCAUUCCUCCCCCAAUCCUGAUUCCCGCACGCUCGCGCGUCCCUUCCGAUGGGCCCAAUACGGUGACGUGACCUGUUUUAAAAUAUUGGGGGCUAGUUAUUAGCGAUCUGAUGUGGAUUGAUAUGUUUUUGGGGGAAAUUUUUUUGGAAGAACUCCCGAUACAUAGUUUUGGGGAAGAAUUUUUUGGAGUACUCUUGGAGUUGCUCUUGCCAUGCUACGGUACAUCUUUUACCUUCUAAGAGGUAAGAGAUCUGAAACAAAUCUGGACCCUUAUUUUUUUUUAUAAAUGGUGAUUAAAGAUUAGAAAAGAUUUAAAAAUGCUGUUGUGGUUAACCUCCCCUAAUCGUGGAUACGGUAUCCACGGGAGAUUGAAACUAAAGAAAAAAAACACGACUGAUGCGUCUCCGCCCACACAUUUGUAACUAGGAAUUAGAUUUGAUUUUCAUCUACAGUGUUGCAUGAUUGUGUGCGUGUGUGGUGCAUGCAGUGUUUAUGAAUCAUGACGCUGCUCCGAAUGCAUCACAGGUUAAGCGUCCAGGUUAAUUAAAUUAUGAAUCAUACACGUUAUAUAGUUCACCAUGGUGCAAUUCAGCAAAGUGUCACGUACAUAUUUCAAAAAACAUUGCAUACGUACUAUUACGUGUACUCCCUCCAUUCCAAACUAUAGGUCGUUUUGAUUUUUCUAGGUUCAUAGAUAUUAUUAUCUAGAUAUAAUGUAUGUUUAGAUGUAUAAUAAUACCUAUGAACCGUCAAAACGACCUACAAUUUGGAACGGAGGGAGAGAUUUAUUUAAAAAGUUCAAAUUACAUUAUUUUGCUUUCACGAAAAAGUGACUGCUUCCCUAGUGUACCGCCAGGCUAACAUGUCACGUAAUUUUUUUUGUCAUGCUAACAUGUUGACGUUGGAUUACUAGGGAAAAGUAGUCACUUUUUUUUGCAAGUUGUCGCACACGUUAGAUGAUUAGAUCCCGUUAAGUUAGUUAGAUCUAAUAGGUAGAUUUUCCCUAUUUAUUCUAUUUUUCCAAAAUAAGAAUAUAAAAACAAAUAUGAUAAUUAUAUACUGAUCUGUUAAAUGGACGGUCCACGUUCAUUUCGGAGUACUUUAGCAAUUCCCAGUAUUGUUCGCAUCGAUAUUGUAAACCAACUUCACUAAGCAAUAAUGCAAAAUUAUUCAAUAAUCCUAAGUCAACCACUUGAGAUGUCAAUAGAUGCUAUAAUAAUCACCAUACCGCCUUUUAAUUUCCACACAGUUUUCUUCAUGAUGCGACCAUUGGUACAGACAAUCUGAAUUGCUGAAGCCGACCUGAGAACAUGGCCUAUCACUACAAACAAAGUACAAGAUGUGAUUUCAAAGUUACGAUUGGAUCAACACAUAAGUAGGACCAAGUAAGUUAUGUCUCUCUCAACUCGGUACCAGUGUGCUGUCUUCACUUGCUUAAUCAUUUCUUAAGGAUUACGAAGUGGCACCUAUACCAUGUCUUGGACAUGGCCAGCCAUUAUAAACAAAAUUGACAACAAAAAGAAUUUUAAGAUCGACUUAAUUUAUGAUUGGAUUGACAUAUAAUAAUAACCUACCGAGUCUUUUGUUUCUCAAGUCCUUGUUUGACCACAACUAUUUUUCAUAUAUAAUGCUAAUUUCUAACUAUGAAUUGGGAGAGCCCGGAAGAGAAUCGCUUAGACAAUGCACAUAAUAAAAAACUGGUCUCUCUUCAGUUGCUUACUUCUAUAUUAGAUUAUGAUAACGGCAUCCUGAAGCACCUAGGUCCCUCUCCCACCUUUGGUACUUUGGUAAGGGUGUGUUUUGAUGAUAAAUGAUACUCUUAUACUUGUGACUGACCCGUGUGUUUUGAAGUGGACCCUCAAUUGAAUUAAAGCGGACCCUCAAUUGAAUUAUCAAGCAGACUAAAAGUCUAAUGCGACAAAGGCUAAGGACUCUUCUAGAACCAAGUAUCACAAGGAGAUGAAGGAUACUUGGUGUAGUAUAGGGUUUGUUAUUUUUCUAACUCUUGGACCGUACUAUUAAGAGGGGUUUCAAUGAUAGUAUCUUGACCAUACAAGGCUAGCCAUGAAAAUGAUGCACACUCAGUAUACUCUGGCACUUGGUAGCUCAAAUAACUCAUGGAAGUACUCAAGAAGCGAAGAAAUUGACAAAAAAAUAAAAGGAAUUUGAAUUGGAUGAGUUAUAAAGAUAAGGGGACCGUCGGAUGUUCCGAUGCCCUAUUUUUUAGUUGCAUCGGAUGAAUUUUUCAAGACUGGAAUCUCUGGAGGGAGGCAUCACUUGUUCCGAUGCUACCAUCGGAUAAAUUGGUAGAGACCAUUGGAAAAAGCAUAUUUACAAUUCCAACUUCCAGAGAGGUUUUGGGUUUUGGGCCUUCAGCACCGGUUGAUCUAACGCCUUGCGUAUGACUAUCGGAUGAAUGCGUCGGAGCAAGCAUAUUUUCAAUUGAAACUUACAGAGAGGUUUACAGAGAGGUUUUGGCCAAACUCUUCAGCACCGGAUGAUCCGAUGCUCAGCUCAAGACCGACGGAGCAAUUAUCGGAUAUACUUUUCUAACGGUCACAAUCUAGACUUGUGUGCGGCCGGAUGUUCCGAUGUCCUGGGGAUGGAAACCAUCGGAUCAUCCGAUGGUGUGCUUUUUUGUGUACACUUUUCCAACGGCUAGAUAGUGUUGCCUAGCCUAUUUAUACCCAUUUGCCAGGUCAUUUAAGCUGCUCUUGACACCCUAAAGACUUCAAGCAGCUCAUGAGCAAGUGAAAGUGUGCUAGAGCCAAAAGUGAUUUGUAAUUUGCAAGAUUAAGGACUUCUCUUAGUACUUGAGAGUGAUAAGUGUGCAUCUAGUUCGUGGCUGAGCUUAGUGCUGGUCAAGCGAAGCAUUGAGGCUUAUUACUCUUGGUGGUUGACGUCACCUAGACGGUCUUGGUGAUUUGGAGGUUCUUGGUAAGCUCUUGGAGAUUGUGGGAGCCCCAAGAGGAAGAUCUUGUACAUGGUUUGAAGUCCGCCGUUCUAGAGAUGAAGAAGGGACAUUCUUAGUGAGCACUCAAGUUUUGGUGGCUUCAGGGGGAGCAAAACCUUUAGUGGGGGCUCCAACGUGGAUUAGGGGGAGCGUGAACUCCUCGAUACCAUGGGAAAAAAUCCGGUUGUCUUGAGUCCUCUCUCUUUAUAUUUCAGCACUUCGUUUGAAUAGUUACUUCCUGCAAUUUACUUGUUGUUUUGCUCUUGUUCUUGUUGUGUUUGUUUUGCUCACAUCUUGCCUACGUUGCAAUAUAUAUCUUAGUGUGCUCAUUGCUAAAUUUUAUCCUUGAUAGUGUGUUUAGUUCAUUGGUUUGAACCUUGUAGUUGGGCAUCACUAGUUAUCUAGGUUAAUGUUUGUUUUUCUCGUUCUAGAAAUUAAAAAAAAAAGUCCCAAUUCAACCUUCUUCUUGGGCCACCGAUCCUUACACAUCCGUACUGCAAUUGUUUUUUUUCCUCUAACUAACUCGACCAUCCGACCAUUGUUACAUUGCUUUCACAAGAAAAAGAAAGGUCGAAAGCACUCUUAUCGAACUUCUGAAACUUAACCCUUAAGCUCUAGUAGUCCAUAGCACAAAAAGCUACAAGUCCUUCUCCACUCUUCUAAUGCUCAUGAAAGCAAUUCCAGGAGAUCAUCUUGUUGUGUGUGCAUUGGAUGCCACUAACAAUCAUAGCUUGGUUAGCUGCCUCUCCCAAGAAUAGCCUUUAUGUUUGUUUAUUACAAAGGGAACGAACUUGCUGUUUACAUGUAGGGCAAAGCUAUCACUGGUACGUCCUUGCUGUGUCCUGUACUACCAAGUUAGUAACUCUACUUCAUCUAUUGUUGUUGCAUUAUGAUGGCUACUUGCAAAUUAAGGGUAAGAAGGACCAGCCACGGAUGCAAUGAUCAACUAAUCUGUGCGAUCUCGACUAGUGACCCAAAUGAUUUGUUGCAACAACGCAACACCUGAUGGUGCCAACCCUGAUGCAAAUGAACUUAAUCAGGAAUAGUACAAAAAGAGACUUUCAUGGCUCUUUUGCUUGCAGUUAGAAGACUUUUCUAUUACAAGACAGUUACCUAAAUCAAAAGGGAUGUCAAUGAUAAAGUGACUCGAUGAGUGGAGGGGAAAGCAUUCACCAUAUAUUCUCAUAACUUAUGAAGGAUUACACCUAUGGACUGAAAAGAGAGAGAGGUGAUCCGAACAUAGUUACAGAAAGAAGAACAUCACAUAAGAUUCCUGUCAAUAACAUAGAUUAGAUCCCAUAUGCACUAUCAAUAUUCUUUCAUAGCAAUUAAAAGAGAUCCUUUUUACUUCUUAAUUUAUCACCUUUAUUUAUGUUUUGACAAGGAGCUAAAAGGUUUUAUUUGUUUGAAUAAAAAAUUCUCAAUUUGUGAUGUAUCCAUGUAAUCACACAAUUCGUGCGAUAGUAUUAUCUGUUUCAAAAAGAGCACUCACAAAGAAAAUGAGAAUUAUUGUUUGUAUUCGUAGAAAAUAAAAAAAUGUGUUUGGAAGAUGUAUUCAAAGUUUUACGAGAUCAUCAUUUCAGGUGACAUACAUGAUCAAAUGGCUAAGAUAAGACACAUGAACAGGGGCGGAUCCAAGAUCCAUGUCUAGAGGUGCUCCCUUCCCUCUUCUUCUUCCUCCUUCUCUCUUUUCUUUCUUCCUCCUCUUCAUCUAUGCCUAAAAUUUGUGGGGGGCUCCGUGGACUUCAUGGCCCCCCGCCCCCACGCGCUGGAUCCGCCCUGCACAUGAACAGUAGAUAACGAUAUCAAUUACACGGAAGACCUGCUGGGUAUUCAGGUUGGCUUACAAUACCAUUCAUAUACACCCUACCAAGAAUAUUGUUGCGCAGGGAUAUGACACACGUAAAAAUAAAGUCUGUCCGGAGAGGCCCCAGCAGGCUAGCUAGCCACUUCUAUAUGUGGAUGGUAAUCCUUAAAGGAGUGCGUGGGAAUAGAACCGUGUGCUGUUAUUCAUAUAUACCACCCUACCAAGAAUAUUUGUUGCGCAGGGAUAUGACACAUGCAAAAAUAAAGUCUAUCCGGAGAGGCCUCAGCCUCGAUCGCAGGCUAGCUAGCCACUUCUAUAUUUGGAUGGUAAUCCUUAAAGGAGUGCGUGGGAAUAGGACCGUGCGCUCUUAUUCAUUCCGUUUACAGCUCCGCGGAAAGUAGAUUAUAUUCCUCCUACAUGUAUGGACAAGGGGGGAACAAGAUCCAUGGUUUCUCCACUGUUCUAACUCUAAUCGACUACAACCGUUAGCAAAACAUGGGGGACCAAAGGAAAGUAUGCCCACACUAAGAGGACCAAGCAAUAUUUUUUGUGGCACAUGUAGAGUUACGUUGUGGCUUAGUUUAUCAGGCAGCUAGGGUUCCUAGAUAAUGGAAUCGAUCUGGUGGACUUCUAGAACAUACUAUAUAUAUAUAUAUAUAUAUUGAAGGAACUAAACCUAGCUACAUCACCUAAAGACGAAUAAGCUUUAGAACAAUGUGUAAUACUAAUUGGCCACCUGGCUACCAUAUCUGGUAUUUUUUUUUGUAAAUUGUAUUAUUAUUGUUUUUCUCAACCUAAAAUGUGUGAAAUACUUCCUUGAAAAUGGUAAAAAUAUAGUAUUCAUAAAAGCCUUAAUUGCACACGUGCAAUCCAUAUCCACACACUAGAUAUUCUUUUGCAAAUUCUCUAAUAUAUUAGAAAAACACCGCAUUAUAAGGAUGCAUUUGGAAACCUUAAUUAGUGAUGAAUGCCGUACAAAAUAGCAACAGGUAGUACUAAACUAUUCAAAGAGAACUGAGACCGUAGUUAAUUACUUUAUUUGUAUAGAAAAAACUGCAUAGGUACCAACCCCCGGGUAUAUAUAGGGUUAUCUUGUCCAAAGAUCGGACAUACGUGUAGCGUGUAUGUAACAUGCAUGCAGGAAGCCAGGAACCAAAUGCUCUCUGCAAGUAUCGGAGACUCACGACCGGGUGCGCUUUAUACCUUUUGGACCAGCGGUACGAACGCAUCAGCUACGGUUAAUUAUUGUCUGGGUUGAUGAGCGCCACCGUCCCCGGUCGGAGGAGAAUCGAUAGUCCACGGUCGGAGGAGAAUCGAUACCGUACCCGGCCAGCAGCCGGCCUGCCGGUGGAGAAACGGAGCAAGGUCGAUCGGCCGAUGCCAUCGAUUUGUAUCACGACAAGAGCAUGCAUGUCUAUUCUAGGAGUUGAACUAAAAAAAUUCAAAAGGGGUCUAGGGCCAGUAGAUGAGUGUAUGAGACGAAAUUAUGCUUCGCUUUUGGACUUGUAUUAUGUGUAUGUGCGAGGAUCGAAUCAGAGAAAAACAUUCAUGCAUGGAGUACUGGAAGGAGCUAAUUAAAGCAGGGUCUUGGAGUCAGAGUCACUAGCCAGUAGAUUAACGCGGGAGGUUUCCGUUUAAGCAAUACUUAUUGACCACCUAUCUAGCUCUAGUACAUAAUUAACUUGUACACCCGUAUAGAAAUUAAAAUGGAGUACUCAUCAUGAAGUGAAUGAGGCGUACUGGUACAUGGACACCGUAUUGACGUGAUAGUCCACGGUCGGAGGGAAUCGAUACCCGGCCAGCAGCCGGCCGGCCGGUAGAGGAACGGAGCAGGAUCUCGGCCGAUGCCAUCGAUCGAUCGGUAUCACGACAAGAGCAUGUCAUCUAGGAGUUGAUCGAACUAGAAAAUUUGAAAAGGUGUCUAGCUAGGGCUCUAGGCUCUAAAAAAAAUCUUUAUAGAGGCACGCAUGUGUAUGCUCUAGAUGAGCGUGUAUGCGACGAAAUUAUGCUUUUGCUUUAGGACUUGUGUUAUGUGUAUGUCUGAGGAUCGAAUCAAGGGAAAUUGGGAAAACAUGCUUGGAGGACUCGAAGGAUGUAAUGUGGGAGGUUUCCCUAAGAAAUACUUAUUAACCACCUAGUAAGAGGCUCAUCUUGAAACCUCCAGAACCACCUAGGAUUCCUAAAUGGACACUCUAGAAAAAGAGAGAAAUCUUAAAAAUUCUUACAAGAAAACAAAACAUCUUGCCAUCAAUCUGUAAACUCAAGUCAUCAUAGUCAGUGGAUCUAAUAAUAGUCUAAAGUAACCCUCUAAAUCUAUACCUAAAUUACUCACAUCUGUCAUUAUAUAAAAUUUACUAAAGUAACCCCUAAUAUUCAUCAAAAUUACCCACUCAUGCCAUGUCGGGGGAAUAGUCCGGCAGUCCACCACGGAGUAGACCAAGGUGAUAGAUUGUGUGGAGGUGCAGAGCGUAAAAUUGAUCGAUCAGCAGUGCUCACGGUCAAGAGCGGCCUGGAUCCUCACAUGAUUAAUUUAUCGGAAGUUAAUUAAAUUAUUGUUAUUUAUUGCUAUUAUGUUGAUUUAUGUUCAUAUUUAAUGUGGGUGGUAUAAACCUAUACUUUUAGUAAUUGCUAAUAAAACUUGACCAACCAAUUAAAAUGCUGAAUUACUAUUAAACCAUAGCCUAUCCUUGAAUGGCCUUACACUACAUAUUCCUCAUGCUUGCUGAGUACCAACCAUAAGUGUACUCACCCUUGCUAAAAUCGCUGCUCAGAACAAGUCAACUUUGAGGAGGUUCUUCAAGACUUCGAGGAGUUCUAGGCGUACAUGUGCCCUCAGUCAACUACCUGUGGAGUCGUCGUCUUCGUUGGAGUUCCACUGCUAUAAUAAAGAUUCUUUUUGCUAUUCGAUUUAAAGACUAUUGGUCAUGUAAUAAAUAUAAUACUCUCUUUACGUUAAUGCAUCAUCUAUGGUAUUUACUGAAGUCGUUGCCUGUGUGUAACUUGAUGCUAGCGUACAUGUAGUUCAUGCAUCUGGUUUUGCCUUUAAAACCGGGUGUGACAUAAUCCUCGACUAAUUUCUAUCUUGCCAUGUACACUACACCGUCUUGCGCCAUAGCCUUCAUGUCAGAUACGUCUCGGUGUCCAGCCCUGUACUCAAGACUGUCCAAAUCUUCUGGUAAGUCAAUGGAUAUAUGUACGGCAGCAGGCGGAGCCAUGGCGCAGGGGGCGCGAUGGAGAGGCAAGUGGUGGCGCAUAAGCGCGACGAGGAGAGGAGCCAAGCGAGGGCACGAUGCAGGCCGUGCGGGCCGCGUCGUGCCUCGGGCAGCCUGGUAGCCUGCGUGCCUUGGGCCAGCCCGAUGACCUAUCGUGCCCAUGCUUGGGCCGUCGGUUCAGCCCGUGAACGGGCACGGCACGGCACGCUGGUGGUGUAGUGCCGAGCCUAGCCCGGCACGAAAAUGGCUGUGCCUUGCCGGCCCAUGCCGGACCCGGCCGGGCGGCACGAAUGGACAACUAUAGGUGGCUGCUGGCCGUACGCAUUCUAUCUGAGCGAGGUGUAUUGUAUCAAGUCGGGGAUAAAAAGAACCUACUCCUGCUACCGAUCGACCUCAGGGGAAAAAAGAACGGCGGGAAGGAAAGCAAGAAAAAAAAACAUGUGUGUAGUCACGGCUGUGGUCCAAUCUACUGCCCUGGAGCCUCGCUCGUCUUUGACUUUAUCUGUGCAGCAGUGGCGUGUAUGCAUGACGACGACGCUUUGUUCUAGCCUCGCACGUCUCUCGCUCGUGGUGAUCCAUGCAUGUUCAUGCCCUUUACCUCGUGUUUAUAUUAGUUGCUUCCUACGGGGCCAGGGUUUACGACGCCGACGUGUAAAUAUUUUUAUUUCGUGUUCAUCCGUAUCACCAGCGCAGUAGAUAAAAUUUGGCACUGUGUACUGUUGAGUCAAACAAACACACAAGUUGGUCUACUAUCCGGCACUACUUGGUGAUAGGUAGUUUGUGGACGCGAGAGCAUGGCUCGUGAGGACAGACGACUUUCCAUGGACAUCGACGGAGAUAAUUUAACUGGUGGAGAGAGUGGAGACCGUCAGACCGACAGCUCUAGCUAGCUCUCACCGCGAAACGAAACUACAUAUAACCAGCCAAUAAUCUUCCAGGCGAUUUGUUUGGUGAAUGAACGUACGCCAGCCAGAGUGCCAGACAAUACAUGUGGAUGCACAAUUAACUAGUGGAGUGUUUUAGUUACCAUGCACAGUUACAGGAUGCGAUGAUCUAUAGUUACGUACUGUGCGCUGCAGCAAGAUAAGAGCACUGAGCUGUAAAUGCAAUCCACGCAUUUCUUGCUUUAAUUAUAAUAUGAUCAGGGGCGACCUUUUUUCUUUUUUCAAGGACGGAAAAAAAUGUCACCCGCCCUUGUUGAAAAAGGGCACGCACUGCAGCAAGCGCCCGCCCGGGAAAUGCAUUACCAGGACCCCGGGAAAUAGGGGUCAUCUCCGGAGGCGGCCGACCCUAUCAGCCCGGCUUUGAAAAAAUCAUUUCCUGAAGCAGGGACGGCAUUAGCCGUCCCUAAAGAUGACCUUAUUUCCGGAGGUGGCUCGUUCCUGUAAAUAUUUUUGCAGGAGCGGACCGGAAGGUCACCCGCCAUGAAGCUGCUUCCCACGCGCGAUUUGCAAAAUUUCCAAAGCCUCGGUGCGUGGGGCUCGCGUCCUAACAUUGUCUCCCUAUCACCACGACUCCACUAGUGCUACAGCAACCUUAUCUCCUCCUCUCUUCUCUCCCUCUCUCCUCUGUCUCCCUUAUCUCCUUCUCACGUCUCUCCUCUCUGCUGGGCAGGCAGGUGUGUGGAGGCCGGGCUGUGGGCACUCUAGGGUGGCACGACGCACGGAGGCCGGGGCACGGCCGCUAGGCGCGGCGCGGAGCUCGAGCCACCCGGCGUUGAAGGCUGGCGCGGAGCUCGGGGCCCCGGCGGAGAAGGCUGGUCGGCGGAGAAGGCUGGUGCGUCGGCGACCUUUUCCUCGACCGACUGGCGAGCGGCGUGGCUAGGCGGCGGGUGGCGCAAUGAGGUGGUGCAGCGGGUGGUGCAACAGCGGCUCCUGUGCAGUGGUGGGCCCACUUAGAUUCAAUGAUAUUCAAUUGAAUACCCAUUAUUUUUGCAAAAAAAUUUCAUAUAUAUAGUGUAUUUUAGGUAUAUGUAUGAAAAAAAUAAAAAUACAGAAGCUAGCAUAGACAUUUCACUCAAAAAGGCCCACCGGAGGGCAACUUUGCUCUCCCUCGACUGGCCCAACUGGCCCAUCUGGCCUGCAUCUGCCAACUUGAUUGCCCCCCCACCGUCCCACCCCCACGCGUGAGCACAGAUUCACGCACCACGGUCCACGGCUCCAGGGUCCAGACGCGCGACCGCGAACCCUAGGCGGCUUCCGGCGGCGGCGGCGGACCGGCGGUGGCGGCGCCCGGCGGUAAGCGGCGGCUGGCAGGCUAGGAGGGCGAAGGCGGCUGGCGCCUGGAGCCGAGCCAGCCGCGCUGCGGCGGCCGACGGGCCAGCGGGGGUGGGCGCGCAGGGCGCUACUGGCCACCGUGGGUGGCUGGGCGCACCACGCUUCGUCUGUUCGGCGCUGCGGCUCGCCGGCUCCGCCCUCUGUGAGCGGCGAGUCCAGUCGGCCGACGCGGGCACGCGGCGACAGCCGGCCCCAAGCCCCCAAGGCCCCUACUGUCUACUGAUUUGAGGAUUUUGUGAACUGCUAUUCCUGAUUGUUUGUGAAAUUGAGGUGAGCAUUUUCAAUUGUUUGUCAAAUUGGGAUAGCACAUCAACUUGCAAAAUGUGGAUGCUCAUGAAUUUAGUUCAAUGUGAAAUUGUAAAUAUCUGAUAACUUGAAAUUGUGUAACUUUUAGGUUUGAACCAUGAAGAGGAAGGGUAGUGCCGCUACUGAUUUGAGGAUUUUCAUGGCAAGGGCUGCUGCAAAGAAGAGACAACCUGAACCGGAGAAUGUUAAUCAAUCUUGCAAUGAAAGCCAAAUGCAACUAGUAUUAUUCCAAGGGCAGAGUGGUAGUGAAACAAGCACGGUACCACAUGAACCAGUGAGAUCUAACCAGCCUCCAGAGAACGGUACAACAGAAGAUGGUGAAUCCAUACCUGUGGAAGAAAAUGAUUCUAGUGAUGAAGACAAGAAUGAUUAUGGCAUUGAGCAUGAUCCUGGAUUGAGGGCUCCGAUCUCAAGUUAUGAUGUCAAUGACCAAGAUUCAGUUAGAAGGGCAUACAUUACAUUGGGGCCAUGUCAACCAAAGAUGAAGAGGGAUGCUUUUCUGCAACAUGAUUGUGGAGGUAUGCGCCGCUUCCAACAUAAGUGGUUUGCUGAAUUUAAGUGGAUUGAGUACAGUGUGGAUAAAUAUACUGCAUUUUGCUUUGUUUGCUAUUUGUUCAAAGAUAACUGCAAAUUUCCUGGUAGAGAUGCUUUUGUUGUUGAAGGGUUUAGAAAUUGGAAUAUGAAAAGGAGAAUUCAUAGGCAUGUUGGUGCUAUCGAUAGUGCUCAUAGUGAAGCUGAAAAAGAAAUAUAGAUUGUUUAUGAGACCUAAGGCAUCAAUCCGUGAAUCUGUUGCAUCAAACACUACACAGUUCAAGGCUAAGUAUCUAGCUCGCUUAAUAUGGUCACUUAAGUGCAUAAGAUUUCUGUUGCGUCAAGGGUUGGCUUUUAGGGGUCAUGAUGAAACAAAUGAUUCACUCAACAAGGGGAAUUUUUGGGAACUUUUAGCAUGGCUAGCAGGAAACUUUGAAGAGGUUAAUUUGGUGGUACUAGAGAAUGCACCAUAAAACUGUCAGAUGAUAGAUCACAAGAUCCAGAAACGACUCAUUGAUGCUUGUGCUCAUGAAACAACUAAAUUUAUCAUUGACGGAACUUGGUGAUGAGUGUUUUGCAAUUCUUGCUGACGAGUCAAGUGAUGCAUACCUACUAGAACAAUUGGCUCUUUGUUUGCUUUUUGUCACUAAAAAAGGAGAACCAGUUGAGCAGUUUCUAGGUCUUGUCCAAGUUGAAGAUACUACAUCAUUGACUCUUAAAGAAGUAAUUCAAUCCUUGCUUAUCAAAUAUCAAUUGCCCCUAUCCAAGGUACGUGGUCAAGGGCAUGAUGGAGCUAGUAAUAUGAAGGGUCAUGUUAAUGGUUUGAAGAAACUAAUUAUGGAUGAGUCCCCUUCUACUUAUUAUAUUCAUUGCUUCGCCCAUCAACUUCAACUAACACUUGUAGCAGUUGCUAAGGAGAAUACUGAUUGUGAUUGGUUCUUUGGGCAACUUGCUUAUUAGUUGAAUGUUCUAGGGAUGUCUUGUAAAAAGAUCCGCACGCUUCGCAUUGCUCAAGCUGAAUACAUGAUUGAAGCAUUGAAAUUGGGUGAAAUUGAAACCGGGCAAGGAUUGAAUCAAGAGAUGGACUUAACAAGGCCAGGUGAUACACGAUGGGGAUCUCACUACAAAACUGUAAUGCAUGUUAUGUUCUUGUAUCCUUCAAUCAAGAAAGUUCUCUUUAGGAUUGGGAAUGAAAGUAAAGGGGCUGAGGCUAAUGGAGCUCAAACUAUGCUCACAGUAUUUAAGUCCUUUGAGUUUGUUUUCCUGCUACACUUGAUGAAUGAAAUAUUUGGAUACACAAAUGACUUGUGCAAUGCUUUGCAAAAGAGGGAGCAAGAUAUCGUAAAUGGAAUGGAUCUUCUGGAGUUCACAAAGGUAGAACUGGAUGUUUUGAGGCAAGAUUCUGGAUGGCAAGAAUUUCUUACCAAGGUCACUUCUUUUUGUGAGAAGCACAAUGUUAAAGUUGUUGACAUGAAUGGGAAGUAUAUUCCUAUGCAAAGAUCAAGGCAGUUCUACAGAGGUGCCAUUAAUUAUCACCGGUUUCAUGCUGAUAUGUUUUUGGGUGUCAUUGAUAGACAAGUUCAAGAGCUCAAUAAUAGGUUUGAUGAGGUAAACAUAGAGCUACUUAGAUGCAUGGCAUCAUUCAGACCAGCCAAUUCCUUUUCUGCUUUUAAUGUUGAGAACUUGGUUAAGCUUGCUGGGUUCUAUCCACAUGACUUUGAAUUUCAAGAAAUAAACCAGCUUUAUUUUCAGUUGCACCACUAUAUCAAUGAUGUCAAAAAUGAUGAAAACUUCAAAAAUUUAAGAAGUCUAGCUGAGUUGUCUAUGAUGCUAGUUAAACAAGGAAAGAUUUCUCGGUACGAAAUUGUUUAUAAACUUCUCAAAUUGGUGCUUGUUCUCCCUGUUGCAACUGUUAGUGUUGAGAGGGUCUUUUCUAUAAUGAAUUUGAUAAAGAACAAGAGAAGAAGUAAGAUGGGGUAGAAAUAUUUGAAUGGUUGCUUGGUCACAUUGAUUGAAAGGGAAUUCUUCAUGCAAGCUAAGGAUAAGGACAUCAUCGCUCAUUUUCAAAGCAUUGCAGAACGGAAAGUUAUCCUAUAGCUUGUAAAUUGUAAUCUUUGUUACCAUUUUGCUGUUUUAGCCUCUAUUUAUUUCACAUGUUGCCACUUUGAUAUGUUGAUCAUUAGUAGCUGAACAAUUUUAAUUUGUGAUCAAUUUUAUUAAUCAAUGAUGCUACCACUUAAUUCGGUGUUAUAAAACUAUAAUUUAUUCUAUUAAAUUUUUUUUCUUGCCAUCUCCAAUUUUGAAUACCCAUAGUCUAGAUCUUGCGCCCGCCACUGCUCGUGUGUGGGCUGCAGGUGGAGAAGCUUGGUGGCAGGGGUCAUGGGUGGAGGGCGGCGAUGGCUCGGCGGGGGCUGGCCCGGCAAGGCCACGGCCUUGCCCCGCAGCAGCCAGGGGUCGCGGCACCAGCGAGGUUGCGCAGGGUGCAGGACCGGCGGCGGGGAGCCAGCAUGGUGGCCGGAUUUUCCUUUCUUUUCUUUUUUAUUUUGCUUUUUUUAAAAUCGGUUUCUAGGGUGGGUGAGUGGGUGAGGCCGUGGCCUGACCUGAAGACGGUACGUGCAGGACUGGGUCGACGCCCGCCCUGGAAACAGCCAUUUUUAGCUGAAAAAGUAGGGUGAGUGCCGCGCGAUCCUGCCAAUGCCGUUUCGCCCGACACUGCAAAUGUUCUCCGUAGUAGCGGUCCCCAUCUUUUUUUGACAUAAAACAUAGGUAUGCAUGGUAGCUAGGAGGUGAAUGUACGUACUGUACCGUGGCAGAGGUGAAUGUACGUACUGUACCCUGGCAGCAGGCUGACCAUCAUCAUCUUUUGCAUGCUACUAGGGCCUCAACUUGCAAAACGAAUAUUGCAUUGCAACCUAGGAGUAUAUAUACGGAUUAGCCAGUGUAGUCAACGCAGAGGAUUGGCUCGGACUAGGCACGUCAGGUGAAAUUGGAGCCAUUCGUACCCAGACGUACUCUUUCUUUUUUCCGUUUCAGCGGACUGUGACAGCACAUCUUGCAUUAUACUGACGAAAGAAAUUACAUUAUCGUACGUGGAAGCACAAGCGACCAGUGAGCUAGGAGCAAAGGGAAACCAUGCAACGACAUCCCACAUAUUGUACGUUGUCCGUUCCCUAAUCUCUACCAGCUGGUCAGCUCGCUACCUGUCAUCAUGACGUGUCUCUAUGUACGUGGCUGGCUAUCUCUGACUUAUCUGUGUACGUAACAAGUUCAAUCCAGAAAGAAAUGAAAAACUCAAAAAAAGCAUACAUCAGGCAAACAUAGUUAAAAGAAACAUAAUCAGAAAACAAAUCUCGUCUGCUGUAGCACUAGUACAAAGAUGACUUUGCCACCUUUGCACUGCACGGUUCCAUUUAAUUUUCAAGGAACUUUGUCUGAUAUGAUCUGUUGUGUGCGAUCUUAGCCAUUGCAAAUACUAAUGACAAAUCCAGCCUGAAAGUCAAAGGUGCUCCCCAAAACACUGGAGUUCAGAUGACAACUAGCUUGCAUGUAUAUUAUAUACAGAAAAUAAAAUUCUUUUCUUUAACCUGCUUAGCCGCCCCAGAACGUGCAUCGCAAGCAGGGCCGGCUCUUGAGAAGUUUAGUUUAAUGGUUUUCCCAAAUAAACACUCCUCAAACAAAUGAAUAUCCUCAUUUUUUGGCAAGAUAAGUGUUGCUUUCAUCCGUCCAUAAGCUAGCUUCUUUUGACAAACUGAUGAUUGAUAAAUAUGUUUUACCUUUCACCAUGUAAUUUCAAAGCGUGCUGAUUAAUUACCUAGUCCUAGUUCUACUAGCUACCAGGGAGCGUUAGCCCAGACAAAAUACAUAGCCCUCCAAAGAAAAAGUGCUGUUGCUGUCAUAGUAACUCCAAGGAAACCGAAGCAAACGGCCAAAGCGACUCUUCGACGAACCACAUGCAAAUGAAUGUGUACAGUAGUACUCUCUCCUAUCUUUUACGGAGUAACUUGUUGGUUCUUCCAUCUCCCCGUUGAAAACGAAGCUUGUCUUGGUCUGCAGGGAUAUCACCAUGUGCACGGAAGUGACUGUUAACCGAGACUGGCAUCUUGUAGCUGACGACUGACACUGGCUGACAGGCACUUAUAUAAAUAUAGUAAUACAAGUAUAGUUGUUCAUAAAAACCUAUAGGGUUUUCUGUGCCCUUCUUCCAUCACGAUAGUUGUAAUAAACAUAUGCCUAGAGGCUGGAGGUUGCACGCAUUACUGGAAAACCUACUUUAGUUCCGGUUGGAUAGGGCCAUAGAUCCUGAAAAUCCAACCAGGACUAAAUUUUUGAGACAAAAAGGGAUCCUUUAAUCUCGGGUCAUUCGUCCGGGACUAAAGAAAUGGGCCACCCAUCGGCCGCUGCCGCCCGCGCCCGCCCGGGCCACCCGCCGGCCACCACCACCCAGGCCCGCCCUAGCUGCCAGGCGCCCGCCCGCCUACCUGGAAGAGGAGGAGGAGGAGGAGGGAGAGGAAGAGGAGGGAGAGGAGCACGCUGCCAGCCUGCGGGAGAUAAGAAAGGGGAGAUAAAGAAGAAAAGGUGGAGGGGGGCACGUGGAAAGGUCCCGGUUGGGCGUUUAGUCCCGAUUAGUGUUACCAACGGGGACUAAAGGCCCCCCCUUUAGUCCCGGUUGGUAGUUCCAACUAGGAAUAAGGGGGUCUUUAGUCCCGGUUAGUAGUUUCAACCGGGACUAAAUGCCUCACCAGAUUCCCUCCAUUACAACCGGGACUAAAGGGGACUCUUUAGUCCCAGUUGAUAUUACCAAGUGGGACUAAAGAGCCCAUCAGAGGUGGCCUUCGGUGGCUCAUUUUUGACUCAGGACUAAAGGCACUUUAGUCCCGGGUCUAAAGUCAAUCGGGAUAAAAAGGUUUGGAUGGAAGUUGAGUUCUCUAGUAGUGACGCAUGCCAAGUCAAAUGUUGUCUUUGGCCUCUGGCUGCUAUCACUAUUGGAAAACUGAGUAUUGGUCCUAGCCCUUAGUACCGAUUGGUUUUUGACCCGGUACUAAUGUGAGCAUCAGUACUAAUGUAGUACUAAUGUGAGCAUUAAUACCGGGUCUAACGGCUAAUUCCCCAAGAGCCCCCGUGACUCCCUUUAGUACCGGUUGGGCUCCAACUGGUACUAAAGGUCACCCAUUAGUACCGGGUGGAGCCUCCACCCGGUACUAAUGGCCCUAAGGGCCUUAUUUGGAAGAAGUCUAUAUUUUAGGAGGUACCUUAUUGGGAAGUCCUUGAGGUCCUUGAUGCCUCGCCUAUUGCAGCAUCUGCAAAGGCACCUCCUUGAGUCCUGUUAGGAAUGUAGUUACCAUCUUCUUCAUCAUCAACAUCUUCCAUCAUAACUUCUCUUUCCCCGUGCUUGGUCCAAAUAAAAAAUAAAAUAGUUAGGCAUGAAUCCUGAACUGUAUAUGUGGGCAUGAAUAGUCUUUCUGGAUGAGUAAUCCUUCUCAUUUUUGCAAAUUCAGUAUGGACAACAAAUGAAACCAGGCUGCGGCUUGUUGGACUCUGCUAGAUCGAGAAAACCACGCAAGCUAUUAAUAUACUCCAUGGAGCAUUUGUCCGCGUUGUACAUCCAUUGCCGAUCCAUCUACAAAGUAUUACCGAACCAAAGAUAUUCUGAUCAUCCAUAGAAUUAUACAUGAAACAUAACAAACAUGAUACAAAUACCAUUAAAUGCAAAUAUUGCUGAAAGUUUAGAUAGAAAUACAUAAAUUUAAAUUUCAGAUCCAAACAACAUGAUACACUACAACAAACUCAAAUCUUGCUGAAAGUUUAGAUAGAAUACACAAAUUUAAAUUUCAGACCCAAACAACAUGAUACACUAUGACAAACCAUCCACUGAGUACUAUCUAGGAGGACUGGGACUGGCAGUGGAGCAUAACAACCACCAAAAGGAGAUUCUUGACCCGCCGCAAUAGCAUCUUCAUGACAUCUUUGGAAAUAACGAAGCAUUGCUCUCUCCCACGUGCUCAUUUUCUUCGGCUUAUCAUGAGGGCCAACUAUGGUUUUCCCCUUACCGCGAGAGGAAUGAUGAUCGCCCCCACCAUCACCACUACCUCCAGCAGCAGUAGCCAUCUCUAUGUACGACAAUUUAUUUAGCUCAUAUUUGCAAAUGACUAAACUAUGAACAAAUUAUAUUUUUUCCCACAAUUUAUUUAGCUCAAACAUAACAUAUAAAAGAAAAGUUUCUCCGUUGUAGCUUAUUCUAAAACUGACUAAUUACGUGCCUCUAUUUCAUCUUAUUAUCUCUAUGUACCACAAUUUAUCUCACUCAUAUUUGCAAAUGACUAAAAUAUGAACAAAUUAUAUUUUUCCCUAUAAUUUAUUUAGCUCAUAUUUGUAAAGGACUAAACUAUGAAAAUAUUCCUCUAACCUCAUAUCAAUUUCUUUGACUAAUAUAAAACAUAGCAUCUAAAAAAUUGUAGCUUAUUCUAAAAAUCACAAAUAUGAGCUCUAAAUAACAUAUGCAUAUAAAUGAGAAAUUUCUCCAUUGUACCUUAUUCUAAAAAUCACAAAUUACUCUAACUCUAAAGUAUAAAACUUAGUAUACUAACCAUGUAUCAAGCGAGGAUGAAGUUUCUAACCUUUAGAACACUUGAAUAAGUGAAAUCCCCACGAAAUGGUCAAAAAUAAGGCAGCACCGUACCUCCCCUAUUUCGCCAUGAAUGGAUGAAGCUCGAGUUGGAGGAAAUGCCUCGGGCAGGAGGAAGAAGACGCUUGAUUUAUAGGAGAAAAGUUAGUACCAGUUGGGGGGCUUCAACCGGUACUAAAUGGGGUCAUGGAGGGCUUCUGGGGAACUAGCGGUUAGACCUGGUACUAGUGCUUACAUUAGUACCGAGUCAAAAACUAACUAGUACUAAGGAUUAGGACCAAUGCUCAAUUUUUCAGUAGUGUUGGCGGUACUUUUCUUUCUUUCUUUCAUAGCACAGAAAAUAUGCUCUUCUUCUAAUCGAUCGGCAGCUCUCUCAUUAUUUGGUUUGUUUUCAAAAAUUUUUUUUGCCAAAGAUAUAUGGCGAAGGGCCAAUGAAGCUGGAGGCAGAGACGUACUGGCACGUUGGGGAGAAGAAAGCAGUGACAAACUGCACAGCUAGCUAGCUGCGAGAACCUUAUUCCUGAGCUAAAGUUGCUGGCAUCUCGCCCAUGCAUAUGCAUACCUCUGAUGAGUGUGGCUUAUUAGAUAUAGACAUUGGGUCCUGCUUGGCCCCCACACACAUCAUAAAAUUCACUUGAUUUACAUUGUACAAGAAAGUAAACACGCAAUCCUGUGGGCUACCAGAAUGUUUCAUGUGCAUAUAUAUAUUUAGUAACAUAUAUACUGCAGUAUUAUUAUUUGAUUGAUCAUGUCGACGCUAUAUAAAUUUUAUGUAUGUAUGCAUGCUAGGAAAGAAAAAGUAUAUUCAUGGAAGACCACGGUUCAACUUAGUUUAUUAUUAGCUAGCAGGUUUCUCCCGGGAUAAAGCGCGCGGUCUUGUGUUUAUUAGUUUAAUCUUACCUCAGUUGACACAUUAGGUGUGGAAACAUGACUGGAGACCAACUGCAAGUCUCCUAAUCUGCUACUCGCCUAACACGUUUAGCUUUCGGUCGGGGUUGGGGACAGAUGGGUCGGAUAUGAUGCCUGCACGAAACACACGUACUUAAAAGCAUGGUGCGUGCCAGGCGCUGCAAAAAUAUAGGUACGGUGUUUUCAUUGCUAGGCAACGGAUUACCUAGCUGCAGGGGCAAAUUUUGCACCAUCCAAUAACACUACUGUUACUGUGUUGAGCACAUGCUUGAGCAUGACCACACACUGAAUCCAAGCAAGCAACAACAAGAUGAUCUGAUCGAUCAAGCAGUGGUAUAAUCGUCUCAGUGUGAAUAGAACACGCACGCCAUGCAUGCAUUUUCAACACACGAAACUACCAACACCUUACAUUUAUGAUGAUUUGGAGUUCCGUUUUGCUGAAAAAAAGAUGAGUGAAAACUUCGAUUAUUGCAUAUCCAUUCCAUUAUCUUGGAUGUGACCUAGCCAAUAAUCGCUGAGGACACAAGCAGGAUUCGCCCAUGACAUCUCGCGAGAUAGGCAUCUCCAUGUAUCAUGGCCACUCCUUUUCUGCAUCUUUUGUUUUCCUGUAGCACUAGGCACAGACAAGAGAUAAAGAUUUGCAUCCCUCGUCGUGCAUGUGAAGCAUAUUUGGUGUUUGUUGAGGCGACAAAAAGCUGAUCGAUGUUAAUUUCUCACGAAUCAUGACUAUGCGUCUACAGUGGAGUUUAACGAGAGCACAGUUCUUUCGUUUCUUCUUCCACAACGUAAAAUAUGUACGGCCACAUAGAUCUCAUCUGGAACCGUCUGAUGCACUUCGCCGGUUGGUAAGAUGAUUCCUGACAUUUGUAUGGUCGUGUACUAUACUCACUACUAGAAAGCUGACCCUUCAUCCAUGAGCUAGUACCAGAAGAUUUUUGGUUCGGUACUAACGCGUGAAAUUAGUACCAUAUCCAAAUUUUCAGUCCCCAAAGGCUUUUUAAGUACCGGAUCACAACACCACCCUGUACUAAAAGGUAGCUUUUAGUACCAGGUGGUAUUGUGACCCGGUACUAAAGUGGGUGGUGUUAUGACCCAGUACUAAAUGGCUCUCCACGAGUUACUUCGAAAGGAAAGCAUAUCUAACUUCAUCACAUGUGCUAUGUAGGUGAGAUGAUAAGGAAGGUUCGUGCGAGGCUUGAGGUCAUGGGUUCGAAUCCCACGGACCGCGCACGCACAUAUUACGUGUGAAAUUCGCGUGUGUGGGGGCCUCCUGGCUGUUCAUCAGUUAAUGUCAAUGCCAGGGUUCUAUUUUUGUUUUAUAUUUUAUUACAAAUGUCAGUAUCCAUUAGUGUUUUUUAAAAAAGGCUAACAGUUUUACCUGCAAUUUUGGUAAAAUGCCAAUUAACAACAUAAUCUUCCAGAACGUCAUUGCCCACAUUUUUAUGGUUAAUUAGUUAACCAAAUAUACUAAACCCCACUGGCCAUUGUAAGAUGAAACUGUUAGGAAAAAAAUACUCUUUGUAGUGGUCUGGGAAACAACUCAAGUGACAAAGAUUUCGGAGCAAAGACACCACUGACCAGGGCAGAGCUUACCAAACGGAAGCCAUCAACAUUUUUCUAAUGCACAUCGGAGGUCAUUCUUUUUAGAUUUUUUUUGUGUCACACAUGAAAAGAAUUCAGUUUUUUGGAGGUGUCGUGUAACUUGCAAAUUUAACUCAACUGGCUGCAUUGGUCUCAUUUGGAAAGGGAUAUAGUUGUGUCGUGAAAGAAUUAAGUAUACAUUCAUUUCGCUACAAUCCUUCUUCGUUUCUUUGCCACACAUGGUUCCUCUGAAUUUUCAAAGUCAAUAAGAUACCAAUUUGACGAGUGUAAUUAAUUUAAAAAAGAGUGACGGUGUGUAGGACAAGUAAGAUUGAUAUGCCGUUCUUAUUGAAAAAAAAACCCAUCGUGUUUCCAAUAGACAAUGAUAAGGACACUCCUGAAAACCCAACAGGAUCUCUUGAGACAAAUCCAAGUUCCUUUUUUAAAAAACACAACAUGUUGAUACACGAGGAAAGUGUUUUUUCGAAGCAUUUUCAGGCCUUUCCCUUGUGCUUCCGGCACACUAAAAACACACCCCAGAUUCUGAUAGUGAGGGGGUGGGCGGAGUGAAUGCAAGCCACUAACCAGAAAGGAAGACCCAUCCAGAAUAACCUCAUUCGUUCCACUCUUUGCAUUUAUCCCCUACCCAUUUGCAGUGUGCAACAUGCAUGACCACACAACACGCAGUUGCAGUAAAUUAAACUAGUAAUUAAACGGCCACCAGCUAGUGAUCGAUGCAUCUCAUGUGUCAUUUGGUGUGAGCGAGCCACCAAAUGUCCAGCACCUGUUGCUUGCAUCUCAUGUGUCAUGGGUCAGUCACCAAACGGCGUACGCAUCCGAAAGGUUCUUGGCUUGUUUGCUUAUAACCUCAUGAGAAGUGGUUGGCUGUAAGAAGACUAGAAGAGAGCACACCGGGGCAAGAAGAGCACAAGUGUUGUCUUUUGAGCCAAGAGUCUCUGCAUGGUCAGUUAAGGGAAGUGUUCCCUCUUAUGAGACGACCAAAUCCGAUGCCCAAAUGGUUCCUAUCGCAAAAAAUGUUUCUGCUGUCAUGUGUCUGGUUGGAUGUGUGUCGUCCGCUCGACCAAGCAAGCAUGUCUAGCUGCUAGUUUGUUCCGACCUACUAUGUGUACUACCUUCGCAAUCGUAAAUAUAUGUCAAUUUAGGAUGGUUGCUGAUCAACGUUUUUUUAGCUUUAGCCAUCAGUAUAUUAAAUUCCAUAUAAACUCACAGACACAAGAUUGGUGGUAUUAUAUAUUCAUUGGAAAAUUUUGUCAUGGUGAUAUGUAACUUUUUUUUUCUGUUUAAGAUGAUAUUUUUGUUUUUUUAAAUGGGUAGUUAUAUUGAAGUCUAUGACGGCGUCGUAAUGACCUUGUGCCUGUGAUAAGAGAAAAAAAAUACCUUGUUCUAUGUGUUCCCUUGCUCUACCUAUAAUAAUUAGUAGUUGGACCUUUUUAGUAUAAUGAAUGUCCCCUAAACUAUAUUUUGGUUCAAUUUACCCCCUAAAUUAUUGUAUUUGGUUCAACUUAUCCCAUAAUGCAAUUUGUCAUUUUUGUUUGUACAAGUUGAUUUUCAAUUUGAGACUUUGCAGGGUGGUAGUGGAUAUCAUAAUCUAUAUGAGGGAUACGGGUACCCACUGGUCCCCACCGACCAGGAUACUGGUCAGCCUAACAAGUGGGCCCCGCCCGCCCGUGGCUGCGGGGGCAACGCAUGAAGACACGUGGAGUACAAGCUCGGAGGCUAAGCAAACGGAUUCUACCCAGAUAUUGCGGGAUACACGUUGUAGUCCGACUCAUAUUGCUUUCCAUGUAACAACCGACUAGGAUUAGAUCCUAUCUGAUUGUAAACCUAGGUCAUCAGACUAUAUAACACAGCCAGGGACGCCCCUGAGGGGGACCUCAACUCAACCCAAUAGAUGUUAACUCUUUGCACCUGCGCUCAGCAAUGUAAUCCACCAGAACACAGGACAUAGGGUAUUACUCUCCGGAGGCCAUAACCUAUCUAAACCUUGCGUCUCUGUGUUAUCAUUCGAGUUCUUGAUCUUGCGAUCUUUCCCCACCUACAAAUCUACCACCUGGGUAACCCCUGGUGGAUUGCCGGUCACUAAAUCUGACAGUUGGCGCACCAGGUAGGAGUGAUCGUGAGAUCCUCCCAGCAAGCUCGAUGGCAUCCCACCCCGGUGUCAUCUUCCGCAAGAGCAUGAAGGACUUUCUCAACAAUCUGAUCCAGCUCCGCUUUGGGAGGAUGCCGGUGGACUCCUACUCCGUCGUCUCCAUCACCAACUCGGUGUCCACCGCCAGCUCGGCAUUCGUCGAACCUACAUUGAUGAAGCAAGGUCUUCACCCAAGGAUCAUCACGCUUCUUGCCCAGCAGGUCAGCGAUCUCUCUCUCUCUCUCUCUCUCUCUCUCUCUCUCAGAGAGGAUCCCGCGCAUCCUCGUGGCAACCCGCCCACCCACACCCUCCGAUCUAAUCGUGGGGCUAGAUUGCAUCAGCAACACCAUUGCUGAGUGCAUCAACCUCUCCGGGGCGGCACUACGCCCCGGAAGGUAGGCGCAGGGCUCUCCCCACAACCCUUUUGGCAUUAAGAACUCGGCUACCGUGUUUUUCUAAAAACUUGUACAGUCUUUCCAGAUCCAAUCUAACGACCAACCCGCACCCACCCAGUUUCCGAACUGCGGCGAGUUUCAGGUCCCUCGCUUCGCUAUAACCCCAAACCCUUAUGGCGAGGGCGACGACGGAAGCUCUACAUCACUAGAUCGGGAAGUCUUCGCUGUCUCCGCAGACGAACCUUAAAAGUUAUGUACUCUUUUUACAUUUUGCAUUGAAUAAAUAAAACCUCAGAGGUUCUUUGUGUAUCUACUACCUUCUUGCUUUCUUACCUGAGCCCUUACUCACGCUCGGGGGGCUGUUGGAUCUGAUCGACAGACUAUGCCCUCGCCGUUAUGCUCGGGGGCUUCCCCCAUUAUGCGCUGACCUUCGGGUCUGACCCAUUCUCCUACCCCUCUCAUGGCAAAUAUGACUAACUUGUGUGGAUGGUGUCCUAGCUUAGCUCACGAAACAUAGACAACUUUGCAUCCACCCCUCUACAAGCUCGAGAUCCGCUCUCAGCAGAGUGCUGGCGAGGCAACGAUGGGCGCUUAGCGGGUACAGGCCCAAUCUACACAAUGUCCUGUCGUAUACACAAAAGGAGGGAUGGAUGCUUUCCAUUUGCACAAGUUAAUUGCCUAGCUUACUUGUCUCACAAUACAGAUUGAUACACAUCAUAGUUUUUUCAUUACAGGUUCAACUCUUUGACUACCUCCUCUGCGACUUGUUGAUACUGGUCAGCCAAUUUCGGAAGGCAUUUGGGGUUGCGCCCUACAAGUGCCCAGCGCACGCUUCCGCUUUUUCACACAGUUCUGACUACUUUGCGGCUUGUCCGUCUCUCUUAAUAGUUGCUAAAGUACUCGGAUAGCACAUGCUUUAAUCCGUGAAACCUCGACUCAUCUUGUGAUGCCCCGUCUACAAGCUCAAGAUACACUCUCAGUAGACUGCUGGCUAAGCAAGGCUAGGUGCUUAAAUGUAACAAGCUAACUACCCGAAGAAAUUACAUAGCCCACAAGAGCAGCACGCACAAGAAUUUACUUCUACGCUGAAUAAAACUCUGAGUUAUUUAAUUAUUAAAUACUCUACAUUAUGCUACAUAAUCUUUGUAUUAUUCUUUUACAGCUCUGAAACUACUCGGUGUGCCCUCCCGUUGCCCGACCAACCUCUUUGGCUUGGGACGGGAGGCGACUCAGCGUGCUUUCGUGGCUCAGCCGACUCCCAGGCUCGAGGGCUAGGUACCACAGAAGACUCGGCAUGCCUCCCGUUGCCCGGACGACCUCUCUAGCUUGGGGCGGGAGGCGACUUGGCGUGCUUCCGUUGCUCACCUGGCUCCCAAGCUCGGGGGAUGGGCGCCACAGACGACUCGCAUGCUUCCAUGGUUCGGUCAGCUCCCAAACUCAAGGGCUAGGCGCCAUAGAUGACUCGGUGUGCCUCCCAUUGGCCGACCGACCUCUCUUGCUCGAGGCAGGAGAUGAUCUGGCGUACUUCCACAACUCGGCCGGCUCCCAGGCUCGGGGGCUGGGUGCCUUACUUUGGUCGGCAUCCCUCCUUGGCUCUGCUAGUCCUCACGCUCGGGGGCUAGGCACCACAUUGAGAUUGGCAUGCCUCCGUGGCUGCACCAGUCCUUGCGCUCAUAGGCUGGCCGCCUUACUUUGGUCGGUGUACCUCCUUGGCUCCGCCAAUCCUCGUGCUUGGGGCUGGGCAGGUCAGCAUGCUUCCUUGGCUCCGCUAGUCCUCGCGCUCGGGGGCUGGGCGCCUAUUUCAGGUCGGCGUACCUCCUUGGACCGAUCUUAAGCGCUGUACCAACUAUACGAAUUACAAGAUUCUAGACCCUUGGACCGAUUACUUUAAUCAUUUCAAGGCUCGGGGGCUACUCCAUAUGGAGUGCGUCUUGUGACGCCCUCCAUGUGCUUCUCUUCGACCUGCAGGAUGCCCAACAUUUUGAAGCUCGGCAGUUGCUGGCGUCACGCGCAUUUGGUCAACACUUGCUCAAAAUACAAUUCUUUCUUCUUUUUUAGCACUGCGCAGCCUCUCUGUCAUCAUGACAAAACUGCACCAUCAUCCGGAUACAUUGAAGACCUUGCUACACAUCCGUCAAGUUCUUAUUCGACUCCACAUUGCUCAGGAGCUUGAAGGAUACGGGUACUCACAGGCCCCACCGACUAGGAUACUAGUCGGCCUGACAAGUGGGCCCUACCUGCCCGUGGCGUGUGGGCCAAGGCAUGAAUACAUGUGGUGCACAAGCUCGAAGGCUAGGCGAAUGGAUUCUGCCCGAAUAUUGCGGGAAACACGUUGUAGUCCGACUCAGAUUGCUUUCCAUGUAACAACCGACUAGGAUUAGAUCCUAUCUGACUGUAACCCUAGGUCGUCAGCCUAUAUAAGGUGGCAAAGGGCGCCCCCAAGGGCACGUUAACUCUUUGCACCAGCAAUCAACAAUACAAUCCACCAGAACACAGGAUGUAGGGUAUUACUCUCCGGAGGCCCGAACCUGUCUAAAUCUUGCGUCUCUGUGUUACCAUUCGAGUUCUUAGUCUUGCGAUCUCUCCCGCCUACAAAUCUACCACCUGGGUAACCCCCUGGUGGACUGCCGGUCACUAAAUCCGACACUAUAUUAAAAAAUAUUUAUGAAUUUUUCAUCAUUAUUUUUUAAUAAUUUGUUAUCUCAAGGAUAACUUUAAUUAUUAAAUAUUCUACCCUAUCAAAAUAAUCAUAAAAAAUUUAUGAUAUAUUUUUCUAACAUGUUUUAUGAUGUCUGCUAUCAUCUCGCAAAAUUUGAACUUAAUACUCCACUUGUGCGUGGAGAAAAAAAAGAUAAAUUAUGUUAAGGGUAAAUUGAACCAGAUGUUAUAGUUUAGGGGUAAACUGAACCAAGAAAUACUUCUGGGGUUAUCCAAACUUUGGUUACACUUCAAGGGAGUAAUUUGGAUUUUUUUCUUUUAGUUUCAAUAUGCAGGAAAAAACUUGGUGACUCAUUACGCCGUAAAAGCAUCUGUGGAAAUGCCGGUCAAUUCCGAGGCUAGUCACACUUUUGGCACCGGCCCUCGAAAUAGUCACACUUUUGGCGAGGCUCAUUUAACAGAAAUACAGAAUGGUACUGGAAAAGCAUUUCCAUGGUGGAGCCGUAUAAGCUAACAAAUCAUGGAAACGAGUCAAUUUUUAGGACCGGUUCCAAAUGUAGCCCGUGCCUAGAAAUGGACGUAUUUUUAGGGCCCGUCGUCUAUACAGAUCCUUUCUAGCCAUAUAUUUACAGGGCUGGUCGGUAUGGAUGGAGUACACUGUAUACUACAUAUUGGUCUUACAGUUAAGCUCUCAGUGUAAUUUAGGGCUAGUUUGGCAGCCCACUUUCCUGCAGGAUUAUCAGCCUUUUCCCCGCGGAGGAAGCCCACUGUGACGACCGACCCCAAAUCUUUCAAGUUAAUCUUAAUCCGAGUCCCUGAUCUCCCUAUCUCAGUUUCCCCGAGUUGAGUGCUCACUCUCAGUUCUGGUCCCGACCCCUGAGAUCUGACCCCUCUCCGCUAGCCCCCAGUCCCGACCCCGCCGACCCCAACUCACCCGCCGGAUCCUUCUAAGUCUUCCCACAACACCUCCCCUCAAUCUGAGCAGUGGACCAACCGAGACUGACUGGUGGACCCACAAAAAUCUUUUCCCCAGAUCUCCCGUGACAGACGCACUCGAGUAGCAUGCCCGCUUCAGAGUUCCUCCGCCACGUGGCUCAACUUCUCCGACACCCGCCGCUCCACCCCGUCGCCGGUCACGACCGGAUGGAUUCUCGCGCCCCCUUCCCCAAUCGCAGCGGAAGCCCCCUUCAACCCUUUCUGCAGCGCCUCACCGCUCGCGCCCAUCAUCACCCCGUCGGACCCCCGGCUGCAAGGCUCGAUGCCUCCCGGCUUUUCCGCCGCCCCUCCACAGUCGCGCCGCCCCGGUACGUGCUACGCGACGAUUCCUCCUCCGCCAACCCUGACCCCGGCCGCGACAGUCCCUUUCCCACCUUGUCAGAGCUGCGCCCGACAGUCUGUUGCUUCACGCUCGUCCGCGCGACCGCAGCCCGCCUGUCUUCUCACCUGUGCGCCCUCGCUUCUAGCGCCGUUCCCUCGAUCACGUCCAUCAGAUCCGCCGCACGACGAUGCCCGCCUCCGCCAAAUCUCAACCACCGGCAAAACCGCUCCUGCGCCGCCCUGUCUCUGGUGCCCAAUGGCCAACGGUGUUUUCCCCGAAGUCCUGCUCCGCCGCACUGCUGCUCAAUCGCCGCCCCGGCAGCGCACUCCAUCAUUCUUCCCAGUCUUCGCGCCGCUCCAACCUUCUCUCUUCCGCGCAGCUAUAAAAGGGAAUACCAGAGCUCCGCUGGAGUCCCCUUCGCCAUCGCUGCCUUGCUGCCGUUCCUUUGCUUUGUGCUCAAAGCGCUACAGCCUAAAUCCCUGAGGAACUCUCCUCUCCACUCCACGCCCAUCCUUCCAAUCCGUCCAGCCGCUUGCUCCUCCGCGCUGCGCAAGAGCUUGCUUGUUUCCACAAGAAACGCCGCCGCCGGAGCACCACCGGGCAUCGCCUACCGAGUCUUAGUGCUCCAGUUCUUCCACCCAAGUCCGCUCCUUCCCGACCCCAAGCUCCACCUGUAAGACGAAGGUAAGCUGCCGACCCUUCUCCGCCUUGUCCGACCCCUUCUGUUCGUCCGACCCCUGUUCCGUCUCGUCCGACCCUGUCUGUUUCGCCGACCCUUCGUCCGCCUCGCCCGAGGGCUCGGCUGUAUCCUUUUCCCUGACCCGAGGGUAUAUGUGUAAAAAUCGGGGACUACUCUGCGUUAAGUCUGAGGACCCCCAGCACAUCUAUUCCUCUAGUCCAAGGGUCCGAUCAUAAGUUCCCUCCCAUCCGACCCUUAUAUCUUGAUCUCCACCAACUCAAGCGAACUUCCCCACCUUUUUCCGUAGCCAUGCUACAAAGUUUCUGGGCUAGAACUCGCAAGUGUUGCUGCUGAAAUAACCGUCUAAAUGCUAACUCUUACAUUGCAUUCGCGUAGAGCUGCGUCUCGCUGACAGCUUCUACGAGUUGCACCCGGUGCCAGAAGACGAAGUUGUAGCCGAGCUUCCGCUUCCCGAAGCCGAAGCCGCCCCAGCAGAAGACCCCUUCCCUUCCUCCUCGCUUGAAGGCAAGCCCCGGAGCAUGAACCCCAGUUUCCCAAACUUGCGCAUGCCUUCUGCUUCUUGUUUGUGCAUUUACGUAUAGGAGUUGUUUGCAACUGUAGAUGCAUGACUUAGUUCCCUGAUCUGAACACUAGUUGUUGGACCGAGUAGUUGCCAUGCUUAAAUAGGAAGCGGUAAAAGUUGAGUGAUCCCCUAUCACUCGCAAGUUGUAGGAGUUGAUUGUUUUCCUUCUGUCACAACUAUGAGGACGAUGGACGGGGUAGGGUUUUGGUUAACUCUUUGGUGGUUGGCUGAUCGCCCCGUCUAUCUAUGAAACUUGUUAAGGCCCGACAGUGGUGGUGUUCGUGAUCAAGUGUUUGAAAGUACUAACCUCAUACUUAUUAUGGGAUGAGGAAGCCGAGUACCGGAUUGAACCUAGACGUGAGCGGUCGCCCCAUUGUCCUUGGAACGGAGUUCCCCUGUGGCCGCACGUGGUGGCAAGUGUGGUCACAGGACGGCAGAGGCCGGGUCUGUGGAACAUUGCACCAAAGGAAAUGGGCCCGACACGGGUUAGAGGAUUGAUGGGGAAGGCCGACACAGGAAGCGACCCUCGGUGGUGCGUGGAUGUCGUGAGGUUAGGUUCACCAUGCAUGGUUAAAGAACUCGAAUCAAUUCGUCUGCCUCUCACAGUUUGAGACUGCUUGAUUGCUAUGCUACCCUGAGUAAGAAAGAAAUAUGAUGAUGACAUGGUUUUGAUGAUGUUAUAUAUAUACCUUUUGGUUGGUUCUAUGUUUGCUUAGAGUAAGUUGCUAACUUAGACCGGAUAAUGAACUUAGAACCUGAGCUAAAACUUAAAAAUAGGUAUCUACAUAGUGCUUUUGGCAAAUAAACCCCUCAGCCAAAGAGCCUUGCAUGUCUAGAAAGGUGGAGUAGCUUUACUCUUGUCGGUUAAGUCUUGUUGAGCUUAGUAGCUCAGCCUUGUUGUGGCUUUCUUUUUCAGGUGAAGUUGCUGCUCCCGAGCCUUCUUCCGUUGGCACUUGGCCGCCCCAACUCCCUCCGGGUUGGACGGUCGAGUGGGAUCCCUCCUCGGACGGUGAGGAGAGGGAUCACUGACGUCUUGGCUGGCCUCACCAGUGACGUCCGACCCCGGCGCUAGCUCUGCUGUUUUAUUUUCCGCUGCUUUUGAACUUGUAAAACUCUGAUGUUUGUUUUAUUGUCAAACUAAAAUGGCCAAAUUUGUUUAACUCAGUGGACUUGUUGUAUUCUCUGGAACCACUCACCUUCGUGUGGGUUUUGCUAAACUCAGUCCUGUCAAAGUGGUUAAAUCGGAGGAAAUCCGACGGCAUCUCGAGUUAGCCCGAUUAAGGCCGAGUGUCGCAUGUUAGGCGACUUAACCGUGCCUUGAUUUAGCUAAUCCGAGGUGGAUCCGCCACACCCACGUAGAAACCUUCCACGCAUGAUCUUUCCAACCCAUUUGGAAGCCUGCUGCGGGGAGUUCUCCAGCCCGAGCAAGCCCAACUAUCUGCGCGGAAAUGCACCCGACCUACUGAGGCCUGGUAUUUUUUCCCGUCAUGCCCUCGACUCGACUCCCCUAUCGCUCGACAGAUCGCCGCUGCCACAGUCACCGUGCGUGGCUGUUUUGCUCUCUCCUCCUCCAUUGCGCGCCCUUCACUGUGGUCUCCUCCACCACCUCCGCAUCAGGUAAGUCCUCCUCCACCAGCCUCUCCUUGCCCCCUACUUGCUACGCAUUCAAUCUGCGUCCAAUUCCUCCUAGGCUCCUCUCCUCUCCCUUUUCGAGUCUCUGUCGAAUUUUUAGCCUCGCUUCGGUUUCUUGUUCUUUGGGAGUAGGAUAAUAGUUACACUACCCCUGUUGGUUUCUGAUAGGAGCUCGGCUUGAAUUUUCAUCUGCGUCGAUCUUGUCCGUGUUGGUAGUAGUAGAUCCUUUCUACUAGCUGCGGCGUGCUCUGUUUCAUAUUCUUGCCGUUUCUUGUUCUAAUAACCUAUGGACGCAUUCAAUUUGGGUUCAAUUUUGCAAAAUGUGGGGGAAAAAGGUAGCUUCUGAAAUUGUUGUGCAAAAGCUGAGUAGGUGACAGGAUAUGUUGUGCUUCAGCUAAAUUUCUGCAGCACAUAUUAGAUCUCAGCAAAUGAUGUUUUCACCUAGUUGUGAAGUGUUUUGUGCAU